This 56811-nucleotide long non-coding RNA is filed under the name Eucalyptus grandis. RNAcentral's name for it is "long non-coding RNA (EGRA_LNC002516)". Lineage: Eukaryota; Viridiplantae; Streptophyta; Magnoliopsida; Myrtales; Myrtaceae. The record is from RNAcentral.
UUUAUUUAUCUGGAUGCUAAUUUGCGCAAUUUGAGUGAUAAUUGCAAUUUUGGGUAUUUAUCCCAAAAUUUAUUACUUUUACUAUUUAAUUAGAAAAUUACAGGGCGUUGGUUUACAACGCCAAAAAUGUUUUGAUAGACUAUAUAAUUAGUGAGAUUUUAUAUAAUAAUGAUAUUAUAUUUUUGGCUCAGACCGAUCGUGUACCCACACAAGAUUAUUUUUAUUAGGUAUUUUUAACAUGAAGAAAAUAGGUCAAGACAUUAUUUUAAUUGAGAAAUUUAAGUACGAAGCACAAUAUCCUUGGCUGUGGGUGAAUAAUCGUGUAAUAGUUUAUAGUCAUAGUAAGAUGACUAUUGAAAGACGAGAUGACGUAUGUUGUGUGUGACGUUAUGGGAUGGGUCAAGAAAACUGCCAAACUUCUAAAACUGCCAAACUUCUAGUAGGCCGUGCCCAUGGGGCCGUGAUUAACCGCUGAACUUCGAGUAGGCUGUUCCCAUUGGGCCAUGAUUAAAAUACAACGCCUGGCUACACCAGAAGACCGCCGAGCAUCAAGCAGCCCGCGCCCUAUGGGCCGUGAUUAAAAAUUGGGACGCGUGUUUGGUUGAGAUUGUGUGAGACAUUCCAAGUGAUGUGUGUAUUUGCUAUAUGCAUUUGUGAUAUGAAUUGUGCUGACCUGCAGGGAGGAUUCGAGAUGAGGUAAGUCUAUGUGGUUAUAUGAUUAUGUGGUUAGGACGCCUUUGGGCAUAUUACCCUCUUAAUCAGGGUUUAGAGUGUGAACUCGCUGAAAGUUAUAUCUCACCCUGUCGUGGGCUCAUUUCUUUCAGGGCCGUAGAAUGAAGGAUCCGAUGCCAAAAUGAGAGGAAUAUGUUAGUUAGGAUAGCUUCUUUUUGAAGGACCGUCUUUUGUAGACUUUUGGUUGUUGACCUUUGUACAUGACUCAAUGAAUAUAUAAAAGCGUGUUUUGUUUGUGAAUCUAUUUUCCUGCUUUUCUAUCCCAAGCUGUUUACUGUCAGGGGAUAUUUAUUCGCUUCCACAUGUGUAAUAAAAAUGAAAGGGUCGACAACUCAUCCUGGGAAGUCGCAAAUUUUUAUCGACCACCGAGGGAUAGGCACACGCUCAAAGGAUCGGGGCGUGACAACACUACAUGGUAUAUCGCCGCAUUAGCAAUUUCUAACGAAAAUCAGCCAAAAUGACUUCAUUAAAAUUCCACACAAAGGUUUAAUAUUAAAUGCGGGGCAAAAAAGAAAAAUUUAUAAUUGAAUUGGUAUAAUAGGUUUAGUACUGAUUGGAUUAUAGCUCGCUUCUAUAACAUCCUCAGUUUCGGGUCAUGAGAAUAGGGUAGUCGGUCAUGAAUAGACGCAAAAAAACUCACCCAUUGAAAAGAACAUGUAUUUCACAUGUUAUCUUAGAACCAAACAAAAGUCAACCAAGUCAAGGUAAUCAUGAUUCUUGGAACCUAGUAAUUAAUAAAGAGGGGUGAGUCAUAUGGCUUAGGUGUCAUGAGAUACUAAUGAUGUUCUAGAAAGAUAGAAGCCUCCAAAGAACAUAUGCUUCAUGUGUUGUCUUGGAAAGUAAGACAAGGUUGACUAAGACUUAGUCUUGCUUAGGGGGAUGAGUUGUAUUAGACCUCGUCUGCUCAUGAACUAGUCACAACCCUCGGUCCAAAUAGGACUGUCGAUCGUGGACAAAUAUGAGAAACUUCUAUUUGAUAAGAUGGCACUCCAGUUUAAUUCUUUUUCAUAAAGGCCUUGAAUUUUAGAAGUUAGCUAAUUAAAGAGUAAAUCAAUUUCAAGUCUUCUUAGGAUAAGCAAGUCAACCAUAAGUCUUCUUAGGAUAAGAUUUCUAGAAGAAUCAAGUCCACCCAAGUCAAGGCUUCUUAAAGGAUAAGCCUUCUAGAAAAGAACAAGUCCACCAAGUCAAGAUAAAGCUACAUGCCUAAAUCUUCUAGAAGAUGAGUCUACUCUAAGCCAAUGAACUAGAAUUCAAAGAAUAUUAAUGCAAAAAGGUGAUUCACACCUAGGGGGCUUCUUGGAAGACUAGUUGUCUUAAAAUUCUCUUGGAGUCUAGCCAUUUAGGAUCAUCAUUAGACUAGUUGAGUCUUGAAAGUGGAUAAGCCUCAGUACAAGAAGAAGAAGAACAUGCCUAAAGGAAAGAACCGAUGGAUUUUGAUUGAUUAAUAAAUGAAUCCCGUGUCUUGACCUUAUAAUAUUCAUGUACAUGUGUUAUUUGCUCUUACCUUGACCCUGAAAGUCAUGUGCAUAUUUUAUAAGCUAUCAUUUCUGUCUUAAAAGUCACGUACAUAUUUUGUAUGCUAUUAUUUGGCACAUGCAUAUUUUAUAAGCUAUUAUUUGGUCUUGAGAGUCACGUGUAUAUUUUAUAUGCCAUUAUUUGAUCUUGGUCAUAUUUGUUUUAAAACUAGUCUUGGAAGUUUGUAAGUGGAGUCGUCUUAGAAGCUUAUAAGUGAAGUGGGCUUGGAAGCUUGUAAGUGAAGUAAGUUUAAUUGAAAGUUAUAGAGAGCUAAACUUAAAGAGCAAAGAGCAUGUAAUUGAAGGAGGCUCGGUGGAAGGUUCUAGAGAACCAAAACUUGGAGAGCAAGUCAUGAGAGCAAGUCAUGAAAGCUAGAAGAGAUGGCCUAUAAAUGGAGAUGCCCUCCCCUCAUUUCCUCGCCCUCUCUCUCUCUCUCUCUCUCUCUCUCUCUCUCUCGUGCGCGCGCAAGCGCUACUCCCUCGUCUCCCUUGCACGUCUCUUUCUUCCUCUUGGCCUCACUCUCUCCGCCUCUCUCUCACUCGUGUCCUCACCAAGCAACUCGCCCUGUCACCAACGAUGACUUUUAGGCCUGUUAUAAGUGAACUUUGUAACCCUUAGUUAGGGCAAUGUGUUACAUUAGUUGAGCGGGUUACGUUGGUAGAGCAGAUCAUGUUCUUGAUAGUACUUGUUUAUACGUAUGUCUAUGUUGAAGAGUAAUUGUCUAUGAUUUGCUCAUGAAUUACUCAUGAACCAUUCCUUGUAUGUAUGUCGAUGGAUACUUUUCUAUGGCUUGCUCGUGUGUAAUUUUGUAUGGUUUGUGUGUGUGGAAGCACGCCCUCGAGCCUUAUAUGUGUGGGUUAAGAUGGAAGAUAAUAAACUGGCUUGUGCGACACAUGAUAUGUGAUCACUAAAUGAAAGAAAAAUAUGGUCAUCACACACUAUUGGUGGUAAUGCCCCAUUCGUGAAAACUUAAUGCUUUGAUUAAGCCCAAAUGCCUUGAGUGAGUUAGUACAAGGAUAUCUUGAUUGAGCCAAGAUACCGUAGUUAAGCCAGGAUGCGUAGAUUGAAACUAAAUACCCUGGUAAGGCAUGUUACACACUUUGCAUGAUUCAUGCCCUUGAACCUUACUUGUAUCAGGUAAUAAAAUGAAGAUAAGAAGCCGGAUUGUAAUAUUUGUUUACAUGGUCACACAAGGGAAUAAACUUAGCCGUCACCCUUAGAUUAUGGGACAUUACCCGAUUAAGUUUGGAUACUUGACGGAUUUGUUGUCGAAGGAUUGCCAACGCUCUUAGAUUAAGGGAUGUUGCCCAAUUAAGUACAAAUGUCCAAUGGAUUUCGAAUGAUAACCGUUAUCCUUGGAUUAGGGAAUGUUGUUUGGUGGAUUCCAAAAGAACCGUACGAAUGAUUAUAAUAAUAAAUGAACCCUUUUGUGCAUGCUCUUUGUUUUAGUAUGAUGGCUUUAAAUUGUGCGAGCCUUCCGUUGUGCAUGCUCUUGUUCUAGUGUGAUGGUUUUAAAUUGUGUGAGCUUCGAAGGUAAGAUGAGCUCUUCUCAUGCACAUAGUUGAGUUAUUGAAAUAUUUUUGCUAUUGAUUUAUCAUCGACAUUUGACGCGGUUAUGUUCACGUGCUUGUUCGAUGGCAAAACAUCCUCCUAUUGGAAGAUUAGUAAGUUUACUUACCAAGUUAAUGAUUCACUCCAUUGUUUUUUAGAAUUACAGGCAUGAAAGUCCCACAACAUUUUCGAAAGCAAGCCUGCUAGAGGAUUUAAGGUUAACCCCGCUUUUUUGAAGCACAAAAUAUGGUGGUUGUAAAUAGAAUGGGCCAUGUAAGAAGGGCUUGUGCUAUCUUUCGAUAAUGUAUGAAAGUAGUGGUGUGUCAUAAAUAAUGUUUGUUCAUCCCCAUUGCUUAUAUAUGGGUGUAUUUUCCUGACUUGCUCAUUGUUGUAUGAGCAUAAGAUAUCGGAUGCUCUUAAAAAAAGAUAAAAAGAAAUGAGACGGCGACGCGCUUGAGAUAUCGCGAAAAUAACCCUUACCGUUGGAGACUCUGUUCAUGGAGUCAAGGUCAUUACAGCUUCUUUGUAAAACAUAAGACCAAUGAAAUAAAGGUUAGGCAGAUAGUUACGCCGGAAGUGACUUCUAAACCUAGUACGAUAGGACGCCAUAGACAUAGAGUAGUCCUUCAAGUUGGUGGUUACUGUGGUCAAGGACAUAGACAAGAAGUCGAUUGUCGUGAGCAAGAAGAGCUUUGAAUCACAAGCUAAACAAAUGAAUGAUCGAGCAGGUUCCCUUGUGUCCUAAUCCAGAGGACAUAGUUACCCCAUCAUCACGUUCAUCAGCUGGUUGGUAUUAAACAAAAGAACACAAACACAAUGGCUAUUUAGGUCUGAAACAAAGCGCAACAUGGACGACUCGAUAAUUUUCACAUGAAAUAAAACCCUAACAAAGGCUGCAACACAAGAUAAUUCCAUUCAGAAGGAAAGCCAAUCGCACCAAAUAGCAACAAGAAUGGUCGGUAUAGAAGACCCCCGAGUUCUGAUCACACCAUGGCAUCUGCAAAAACAGCCGGCAGACCUGGAAAAUUAAGACGAUAAAUGUCAAUAACCCAAGAACAAUGAAGAAAGAUAAUGAUGAAUAUUGUACCUACGCAUGCAAUGACCGAUUGACAUUGUGAUUUCAAUAAUAACAAUGUGAUAAAAUUUCUUUGGACAUGUAGACAAGCCGACCGUCUUGCAUGUCUAUCUCACCAAUCAUAAUGAAUACUUUCAUUAAAAUCAAAAACCUAACUUCAUAUGUACAUGUAUAUAUGUAUCUAGCUAGCGUAUCUCAACUUUAAGUGGAAAGUAAGACAAAAAAGAUAACAACAGGAUUAACUGCGUAAUGCCCAUCUAAUCUCAUUUCAACCUUGGUGUGUUUUUUGGUGAAAAAAAUAGGGUAAAGAACAUACUUUACCUAAAAAAGAAUGACGAAAAGAUGUCGAUGCCUAUAGAGUGGCGGACACGUGGUGGCCCACUGGACCCACCGUCAAAAUUGAUCACCAAUCAAAGCCACUAGACUAACUUUUUCUUACUUGGAUUCAUCGUUUGGAAGUUUUCUCCGAGGGACCCUUUUAUCACAAGACCGGCUAUUUCGCCUAGGAAAAUGAUUACACAAAAUCAAACUCUUAUUAGACUGCUAUAAAGUUACGCUUAAAUAUCAUUGUAAAACUUUCUAUCCAAUGCAAUAGCUAAAAGGCAUGUUUUUUUUUCCCCAAUUUCAAAGUUUUCUUGACAUGUGUAUUUUCUUACUAUUCUUUAUUACUCUUUUUAGGAUAAGUCUAUCUUAGAUAAAUAGACUCUGAACCCAUGAAUCCAAUUAACAUCAUGGAUCAAAUGAUAUUGUGUGCAAAUUCUGCACCCACCUAUGUAUUCCUUGACAUAAUACUUAUUUUGGGGAUGACGUACAAUGAUAGACAUUAUUAAUCAAAGUACACAAAUUUGUGGGACAAAAUUCUAUGGUUGAUGUGGUAAAUAUAGUCAAUCAACACUAUGUGAAGUUUAGCUAAUUUUAUGGAUUUUCAAUGGUCACCCUGUGGAACCAUUCUAAUGAUAUAACAUAUCUUGUAAGCCUUGUCUUCAAACACUAUCUUAUCAUUGCGUACUCGUGUCGUUAUGCUGGCAGUACCUAGCCAUACAGUACUACUCCCCAAUCUUACUAUACUGCCAUGCGAAAAACGUAAUGCUCUCAACUCAUUUUAUGAUAGCAUGAUAAAUAAGAACAACCACAUUGCGAUGCGCACAACGACGUGAGGACUGGUGUUUUUUGUAGCUUCAACUUCAAAUAUAAGUGUCACUAGCUUUGUCUUGAUCUAAUAUUUGAUGAAGCAAUAUUAACCAAUAAGUUUCGCGAGUAAGCAUUAUUGCUGCUAACCAGAAACGAGACUUUGUAGACCGGUCUUGUCUAACCAUCAUUGCUCUUUAAUAGAUGCCGUAUACGAAUGGUUUCAUGUUUUGUGUAAGAGUUGCCUCAGAGACAACGUUUUCGUGCAAUGGAUGACGGAGAGAAAGGGAAGAAGAUACGGAAGAUUUAGAGCUCAGAUUUAUGGAUGGGGAAUCAAGUCAAGACCAUCAAGUGGAUAAUAUUUGCUGAAGGGAAGAUGAGUGCGCAAUGCUAAUGUGCUAUUGUCACAGACAGAACAAUCUGACCACUCAUUUGUAAGGUUGGGCAUCUUGUACAUCAGAUCAUCAUAUCAUAUCUAUCUAUCUAUCCACAGUACAAAAAAGUUCAGUCCUUGUUUUGCACUUUUCUAUCUGUUUUACUUUAAUGACAAGAGUUGAAAGCUAAGGACUGCUCCUACUCUCAACAUAUAUUGUUUGGAAUUUAACAGUGUUGAUGGUUAUGGUAUUGUACUGAUGAAGAUAUUCGCCUUGAUGAAAAAGAAAGAAGGAAGAAAUCGAACUUGCCUUGAGGAGAUUGAAGGAGAGACAGGUACUCGUCCUUCUGCUGAUUGUUGGUGACAAGGAGUUGGUGUAUGCAACCAGGCUUCAUCAUUUGAUUCUCUUUGUCAUUUAUCUUGCUCCCCAGCUCCGGAUGGAUCUUCUUCUUCAACAUCUUCCUCAUCAACUGCAUGCAUUGGGUUGGCAUUCACUACAUCUAUUAAUCUUUACCCUUAUUUUGUCAUUAGCGUUGUUUGUGUCUCCUAAACAAAAGUAUAUACUAUUUGAUUUUUGACUUUUCAUGAUUGGGUUUGCCAGCUGCCCGUGUUAACGACCUGAGGAAGUGCUUACGCAUGCUAAAAGUGAAAAUAGAAAGGAGCUCAAGGAUACCGCAUAUUUGAUCCUUAAUACCCCCACACUAUUUAGGUGUACGUUCAUCUGAAUAACUUCAUCAGAGCCAAAGUGGAACAAGAUUGACCUCUGAAAGGGAUAUAAAGGCUCUCACUUUGUGAAGAUACCUUAGCUUGUUGGGAAAAAGGACACUCACCCGGUUUAGUUUUCUAGUGGGGCGUGAAUCUUCAGACACCAUGUGAUGAAUGAGCUUCUUGGCAAAAGAUUGGCCAUCUUUCUUGGUUGAAGCGGACUCUUUUUUCCCCAACGGCUUGGUGGGUUGACCAACUUCACUUGGAUAUGGUUUUUCUUUGACAUCAGAAUCUGCUGAGAAGAGGUCGGCCAAGGUCACUCUGUGCCCUUUCUUCUUCUUUUCUUCUUCAAAGACCACUCCCUUGGUCAGCUCAACAUUGUCAACCACCAUUGACCUGUCAGGUUUAGCAACAUCAUCUUUGAAUGGAUUCAGUGGUCGCGUCUCAUCAUUGAGGACGUGGUCGUUGUUGCAGAAUGUCGUCGACAUCAAAGGGUUCUGUUCCUCGUCUUCCACAAUCGGUUCCCCCGGAUCACCAGGAUAGAGAUCAUGAUCAUGCUGAUCAUCCUCUUCCUGACUCUCAUGAUGACUUUCCAAGAAGAGCUCAUCCUUUUCUUGGUCCAAGGGUUUCAGCGGAUCAUAACCAAAAGUUCCAAUUGUUAAUAUCCCAUCUUUCCAACCAUCCAACACGCCUGCGAAUGUGAGCCCUUCAAGUAAUGCUAGCGCAUCCGCAGUGAUGGAUUCAGCCUCUUUCACACUUCCGCCUAGCUCAUGAUCUGCACAAACACACAACAACUUUCAAAUAGUGAUCGCCACAACUUCUGAGAAGGUAGUGACUGCUCUAGAACACUGUUCCAACGACAUUGAUGCGCCAAAGCACUCGACAAAUGCAUGGGAUCUGGCAGAAAAGGAACAUCGUGUCGUCAUUUUUGGUAGGGGAAAUUUGCAAAAUCAAACCUUGGAGGAUGUUAGCAUUCGACCUCUUCCUCUUUUGCACCCAGUUAAAGAUCUGAGGAGAAGAUGAUAGAAAGUGAUGAGCAACUUGGACAGUAUUAACAAACAAGCUGAGGCAUGCAAAAACAAAGCCGUGAUCAUAACGAUAACGGUGAUGGGGGAUGAAUGCAAGAACCUUCAUUUUCCCUCUGCAAGUUGGCGGAUGGUGAAAUGAAACAAAGUGUCAGAGUGAAUGAACGAGGCAAAUCAAUUAUGGUGGUGAAGUGGGAAGUGAAGAGAAGAGAGGGGGCCGUGGCCAACCCGGUGGAAGAAUGCGGUGAGGACACGUGGCGGGGGGAGUGGGGCCACAUUUCUUUGGGGUUACAUGGCAUGUUGGAUCAGCAGCAACCCAUAUCCAUGUUGGGUCUUGCUGGCACCAUCGAUAGCUCGAUAUUCUUGACGUGAUGUUGGGUUUUCCUUUUCUCAAUUCAGAGAGCCAAGGGAGAGGCUCCAUUAAUCCCUCACGUUCCCAUUCUAAUUUCACUGGCCGUUGCAUAACAUGAGAGCAAGAAGUUUCAUCAAAAAGAGAAGGGUCUCCUUUGGACUUUUUUGUUGGAACCAAGCUCAACACUGCAAAAUCCUUCGAGAAUUAGAGUUUAUCUGAAAGUCUUUUUCCUUCUAAUUGAUUAAUCAUAGAACUAGUACAACGUAUAUACAACAAUCAUGAGAACCAUGUGCUUUUAACUUCUUACAGUUUACAUGUGUGAUAAGGGACUUGAUAAUUUGGGAGACUGUGAUUUGAUUUAUUUUUCCUGCUUUUUGGAACUUUAGAAUCUUAGAUAGUUAUCUUAGAAGUUUGAGUAAUUUGUUUUUGAGUCAUCCAAUUAGAUCUUGGAUAAUAUCCUUAGGGAUUUUCCUAACUCUUUUUUUUAAUGAUUUUCUACCUAUCUUUUAUAAAAAAAAAAAAAAAUCUCUAGGAUUUUAGGCUAUUUAUAUUCGUACUAUUAUUCUUUUGUAAGAAGCUUUUGACGUUGAAUCAAUAAUGAUAUUGAUAGUUUAUCUUUUUGCGCUUCGAGCUUGUCACACCUUUACGCGUGUUUGCUAGUUUUACUUGUACUCUAAAUUGCGAUUUGUGUCAUCCCCGUUUCCAUUGUGUGAGGUGACACCGGAAUAGGUUAGUCGUAGGAACUCAGCACUAGCUGCUUUGGGGACUAUCAUUUAAGAUUGGGAGGUGUAGGCUGUUUGACAGUAGCCUUAGAGUAUCUUGACAAGUUAUAGAACGGGAUCGAAGGAGACGAAUAUUUAGUUGGAAGGUCGGGCAAUAAGCUCAGUCGGAAGCUCAAACAAAAGUGCAUUAGGAUUAGGAUUAGGAUUAGGAUAACAAUGUUGGGCCAUUGGGAAUCACACCUAUGUCCAAUCGUUUCGUAAGCUUGCUCUCACCUUGCGAAGUAACCGACUUGUCUAAAGUAUCGUAAGUCACAUUGGGAUAUAAUGGAUUACAAAUGAGAAAUUAUGCGUUUCGAAUGUGUUCCAUAAUUUCUCAUUUGUUCCACCUCGAUCGUGUUUACGAUAGUUAAUUUAUUAUGGAUUACCGUUCGUAUCAUCUUUGUUUUUUCCUUUUUUUUUCCAUGUUUAUAUGUUUGAUAAAUUAAAGACAAAUCAUUGUCAAGUCACAUCUAUAUUAAAGAUGGAUAUGAUGGGACUAUAUUUGUUGGCAAACUAAAGCGACAGUCAACAAACGGAGUCAAUCACAACUAGUGGAUAAAAAAGAUGUACUACCAUGGGCGGAGCUGGGACUGGGACGACCCUCGUCGAAGUCCUACGAGGCCGCAACCGGAGGGCGAUGGGCUGAGGGUGAAGAUGGAAAAGAUUUUCAUUAGGUUUUAGCUACUCUUCCAUAAGUGCGAAUAGAUGGACGCAUAGCCACUUUUUGGAUAAGGUGCUUUGACCCAAGUCUACUCAAUAUCUUGUUCAAUUUUAAUUUUCUAUUAUCUAGAUUUAAAUAAAGCGCUUUUUCAGUCUGUUUUUGCACAUGAUGGAGGUGCGAAAUAUUUAAUAUUGUCGCAAUAUGACAAUUCUAUAUUAAUGAAUCUCUCUUCAUUUAAUAGCUUAAUGUAUCCAACGCGUAUGCACUUUCCACUUAGGCAUGUUAAUAGCAUAUUCAAAAAACUUAGGGAGGUAAAACCAAGCAAAGAAGAAAAACCUCCAAACCCCGAAUUGAGAUUUUAAACUGUUUAAUUUGACUUGUUUGUGCCCACAUAAACAUUUUCUUGCCCCUGUAAAUACAUGUACUUUGAAUUGUAUUUGAUGCCAUGAUAUUAGAUGACUUACGAGCAAACUAGCAAAAUGAUAUUCAUGUAUCCAUUCAAUAUAGAAACUAGGGGUCAAGCGCACUCUAUGCGCGUGCAUAUCUAGUCCUUUCCUACAUUCGACUAUGUAAUAAAAUUUCAGGAACGAUUAGAACGAGAAUUCCAUAUCCUCGAUUGCUAUUACUGUUGAUCAUAAGGAGUGUCCACAGAAAGCUAAGAAGAUGUCAUAACAUGUCGAAGCAGUUGAAGUUGAUGCAAGAUGCAGAUGGGAAUUAUUGCAGCAUUCGUGCUUUCCAUCCUAAAAUGAAAACAGAGGAAUUAGGAAUGUUUAGCUACUAGCUAGCGCGUCCAGAAAUCCAACGAUGGGCAAUGCAUUGCAUUGACUAGCGAUCCGGUCACCCUCAGAAAAGCGACCAAGUCCACACAUAUAUCGGGAUAAGGAAAGUUCCACAUUGAGAACGGAAGAAGAGAUGAGUAGGUGUCGAGGAAGAAGAUGGCAAAUGUCGGAGCGGGGGUCAUUUCGACCAGUAGCCAUUUGUCGCUCUGCUUGGGCCUUCAAGCAUCGGGUGGUGCACCUUAACAAGGAGCUUCGGAUGCUUUCGGAUGCUCAUCUUGUUCUUCAAUGAUGGAGAGGGUUUGGUCGUGGCGGGUCAUCUCCGGUCCCUCUCCAUGUCCGCAAAGCCCGCAUACCUUUCUCCCCUCUUGUUUGAUUAUGCACCAAGCUUUGAUGCCAUCCACAUUGCCCACGCAGUCACCUUCUCUAUGUUAUCUUCACAUGGUUUGUCCAACUAUUUCAUCCAAACUCCAUUGCGACAUAAGGACAUACUUUUAUUUUAUUAUUCUUCGUAUAUAUAUAUAUUCCAUUUCAUUUGGAUUUACAUCUAACUAUUUAAGAAAGUUUCUUCAACGUCAUAUAAUUUCGCAUUCUUAUCUUCCUCGUCCCCUCACUCACACACCUAAAGUUAAAGUUAUCGUCAUUUUUCAAUUCUCAAUGGUUGGAAAAAUGCAAAAUAUAUAUAAUUGGAGUAAAUAAAACCAGUAAACUUACAUAAGAAAUGCAGUAUUUUUCCAGGUUGUUUAAGUGACUACUUACCGAAAACAUUUAAAGAAACGCACAAAACAAAUGGUCAAAGUUAAGAAGAAUUUGAAAACUAGUAAUGCUAUAGUUAAUGGUAAAACAGUUAUAUUUCUAACACACUAUUAUGAAAAGUUCUCUAAUUAUUUUUGACAGAGUAGAUUCUAACAAAACGUUAAGUGGAUAAAUUAACAUAUCAUUAAAGCGAAUAUAUAACAAAUAUAGUAUCUUCCCACGAUGUUUGAGUGAUUUAUUAAAUAAGUACGAAAAAAUAUCGUAGAUUCACAAGACACGAAACCCUUUGCAAGGAUCCUCGUCUUUCCUAUAUCGAUCCUUUUUAAUGAACUCAACGUGAAAUAUAAUUGAUAAACAGAUUAAUGACAAAAACUUUCAAGUUUCUUCACUAAUGGAUUUGUAAAGAUGUACAAGAACAUUAUUUGACUUUGUUUAAGAUUCCACAAAAUAAAAAUUAUGGUAAUGGCAAGACGUCAACGAUAUGUUGUAGGAGCUUAUAAGGACUAGGGGUCUGCAAAACGGAUGGCCCAAACCGAAAACUACUCGGACCAAACUGGACUGGCCAAUUCAAUCCAUUUUCCGGUUCCAAGAAAGAAUCAGACCGAAUCAACCUACAUAUACAAUUAUUUUGUUAUUUCUUCAAAAAAAAUAGUAAAAUGUGAACUAAAUAUUAUCUCAUCCAAUGGUACCACAAAUUACUGUAUAAUAACUCGUCACUCAUCGUCACUUCGGUCAAUAUCUUAAAAUUUGUCACUCUCUCUCGUUGUGCACGACCAUUUUUUAGUGAGAAAAAAAAGUGACCGAUUCUAUUGAACCGGACCAGACUAGAAAUCGAUCACCCCCUAUUAAGGACGAUAGAUCCAAAUUAGGCAACGGUUUCAACAAUUUAGAUAUCGGGUCUUCAUAAUACACGAAUCAAACUAAAAUGGAAAGGUGUUCUACUUCAUUCUUCCUUUGGCUGGAUGACUAGCCAGAGGCUAGGACCGGUGAGGGACCUUCCUAGCCACUUGUGAGGCCGGCCUCGUCGUCAUUAGGCGAGGCUUGGCCUCGUCAAAUCUAGCGAGGGCUCGCCUUGCCUAGCCAUGGCGAGGUCAGGGUGAGGCAAGGCCUCACCAUGACUAGUUGAGGUCAACCUUGCUAAGACUGGUCAAGGCGAGCCCUCGCUAGCCUUGCCAGGCCAACCUCGUCAGCCCUAGCCUCUAGCCAAUCACCUAACUAAGGAAGAAGGAAGGGAUGAAGGAAAUAAAUAAAUAUAUAUAUAUAGCAAAUAUGUAAUUCUAAACCGUUCUAAAUGCACAAGCACAUAAACACGUAAAUGUGCAUACAUUAAAAAUUAAACCUCAAAAUAUGAAAACACCCGUUUGUUCACCAUGAAACAAUUCAAGAACUAGUAAAUGCAAUGCACCCCAUUUCCCUGGGCAGGAAAAUGGAAAGUUUGUAGACAUCUAUGAGACCUCAUUCAUUUACAAAGAAGUUCUAUGUGAAACACAACAUAUAUCUUGCAGGGAAAAGACCACCAAAAAUCAUUAACUUUGUCCAAAGUGAUAAAUUUACCCAUAACUUUUUUUGUGACAUGAAAAACCCUGAACUUUACCAAUAGUAACAAAUUUAUCCCAAAUUUUUUUUCGUGAUACAAAAAGCCUUGAACUUCUAUCCUUGUGACACAUUUACCCUAAAUUAUAGGGUAUUUUGAUCUUUUUACUUUAAAAAAAAAAAAUCUUUUUUUCUUCUUCUUCUCUCUUUCCUCCGCCGGCCACUGGUGGAGGGAAGCCAGUGUUCCCUAGGACCGCCCUCGCCAGCGCCGAGCGAGGGUAGCCCUCAGCUGGGUCGGGCAAGGGCCUCCCUUGCCCUCGCUAGGCCCUCGCCAAUGUUGGGCGAGGAUGGCCCUCAUCGGAUCUAGCGAGGGAGGCCCUCGCCCCGACCUAGCCGUGGGCCACCCUCACUGGCGUUGGGCGAGGGCAGCCCUAGCCAGCCCAAGCGAGGGCGACCCUCGCCCGACGCCAACAAGGGCAGACCCUCGCCGGAUGCCAGCUUCUCUCUAUCAUGGGCGGUGGAGGGAAGAGAGAAGAAGGAAAAAAAAAAAAGAAGAAGAAGAGAAAAUGCCUUUAGUGGGGUAAAUGUGUCAAAGUUUAUAAAGUUUGGAAUGUUUUAUGUCACCAAAAAAAAAAUUUGGAGUAAAUUUGUCACUUUGGGCAAAGUUUAGGAUUUUUUAUGGUCUUUUUCCUAUCUUUUACACAAUAUUUUAAACUAGAAGUGUGAUUCAUAGUGGACUUGGCCAAAAAUUCAGACGCGCACUAUGCUAUCUUUCGAUAACAACAUCCAAAGAAGUGGUCUAUGGUCUCAUAAUUUAAGCACAUAGGAGCCAGAAGACGAAAUGAGAUGGGGAGGAGCGAUGGAUGCCAGCCAGAACUUUUGUAGGAAAUAGGCCCCUCGUCAGAUUCGGUGUAUCCCUACACUUCAAUCACGCCUAUCCAUCCAAAGACCAAAUCCAGUGAUGGCCCUACAAUUCAAUGGUGGAUACAACUGACAAGUCCUCUUCCAAGAAAACUAUUCAUUUCCUUGUUUCUAAUUAUACAGUCUAGUCGAGUGUCGACGCUUGACGGCUUCCCUACUUGCUUGGGAUGCUUAUGGAAAUGCGUUGAAAUAUUUAGCCCUGUUUUGCUCCCGAUUAGUGGCUUUCAUUUGAUUAAUCAAGGUAUGUAUCCAAGCUCUCCAUGUCUAUAAAGAGAGCGCAACUGACUAGGGGGCGCACGAAUGCUCACCGCAACCCCAUGUUGCUUUUGGGCCUUGGGCCUUAACAAUCGGCCCUACGAAGUGGCCUCAACAACUGAUCCCAAAUUCAAGGACUGUCACUGCAGAGGCCGAGUCUCACAUCCCUUUAUUGAUCUCGUAAGGAGCAGAUAAUACAUCUGGUCAUGCGAAUUGCCUAAGGCCCGAUGCUAGUCCCCCGUAAUGAGGUAUCCGACAUCUAUUACGCAUCCCAAAAGGUCCGCCGCUUUGAAGGCCAUCGCGCGGUAGCCUAGCUAGCUAACUGCAGCUGGCUGUUAUUUUAGUUGGAGCGCGCCUUCCCUUCUUCUCUCACGUCGGAAAGAUUUAGCAGGACUUUUUCAAAAGAUGACCUGAUCGGUGGAGUACGAUACACUGGUGUACAUGAGUAGUGAGGUUGGUUAUAGUAAGGCCUGGCAUUUGAGGUCGGAUUUGAAUGAGCAGCUCCAAAACCCCCUUUUAAGAGGUGAAAGCGGAGUUUUUUUAGAUGCAUUCAGAAGAAAGAAAGUGAAGUCCACCUACUACCCAUCGCUUCUUCUUUCCCGGAUCAAGUGCACGUAGCGAAAAGCGAGAUGGGCCGUCGAAUUGAAAGGAUCUCAUAUGGAAUGCAUAUUUUAAAUUUAUGCUGACUCAAUUUAAAAAAGGAACUUGUUCCUAUCUAAAUAGUUAAAGGAUGUAAAAAACAAAGACCGACAAGUCCGUAACUCUUUGCGAUAAAGAUAAGUGUGGUGAGGAUACUAUAUUCUGUUUGAUUUGUUGCAUCCACUAUCCACCUAACUGCCAUCAUUACAAUGAUCAUGAUUCGAUAUUUUUUAGUAGAGGAAGGUGAUGAAUCUUUCUAUAAAAACUCAAGUUAUACGUGGAAAGCCUAUGACUCUUGCUUUUGUUCCAAAACUGGCUAAACUAAUCCCUUAUACAAGCCAUGCAAGGAUUAUAAUAUCUGCCUCUUCGCUGAAGAUUUUGCUUGCUUUUCGAUGGACUUUUAUUGUCAGAUUGCCACAACAACGCUCGAAGGAACGACUGCAGGUGGAAAGACAGGUGCACAGAUACACAUGGACGCAAUAUGUACACUUAAAUAUGAUUCCCAGGUUGGGGAUUUAUUUUUUUAUACGAGACACGAUCAUCAUCGCAUCUCUAAAUCUCAGUAGAAGGGAAAGCAUCUUCGCCAACUAAUUUAGUACCCCACUUCAUUAAAGGAAAGCGUAGAAUAAUAUGGAUAAAAUCAAACAUGAAGGGAGACGAAAGGGUUUCUUUAGCUGGGCUCUCUUUUUUGACUCUAGGCGGUGUUCUUUUCCUCCUUUGACCUUUCCUUUAGGGGUUUCAGGUUCCGGCCUGAACUUGAAGAACUCCAGUCGAGGAUCCAGACUCGUCAUACAAAGAUACCCAAAUCAGCAGGAGCAGGCGGAUGGUUUCUUCAAGUCACUGACAUCUUCCAAAUCACAUCCUGAGCCUGAAGGCACAAUAUGGAUCUUCUUGGACGACCCUGAAUACAAGGCAGCAUUACUCACACCAUUAAGAUUGUUCCCAAUUAGAUCCCCACCGCCACAUUCCAGUGCUUUCCUCUUAGCAAUGACGCCGUAGAUCUCCUCCAGUAGCCUCAGGAAUGCCGCGUCCACGUUGUCGCCACUGAGCGCGGAGGUCUCCGAGAAGAAGAGGCCUUGGUCUUGCGCAAAGUCCACAGCAUUCUCCAUAGGGACUGCCCUCAUGUCCCCGGCGAGGUCGGCCUUGUUGCCGAUGAGCAUGAUCACUAUGGAGUGGUUCGCGUGGGCCCGGAGCUCCUCGACCCACUUGGCCAGAUGGUCGAAGCUCUGCCUCUUGGUGAUGUCGUAUACCAGCAUGGCCCCUAGUGCUCCUCGGUAGUAUGCGCUCGUCACUGCCCUGUAUCUGUUUAAUUCAUCGCAGCAACUGAUUAUUGAACCACCGACCAUUGCAUUUGCGUACGCAUUAACCACACAAUGCCUGUACGUGUCUUGCGAUGAAUGUUAGUGGACAAUUAUUGUCUACGCCUGGAAAUAAAUAGACCGAUCGAUCUGAGCCAUUAAUCUGAUGGAUCUUACAUUACAUCGAGUCUACUCCACGUAUUUUAACGGCUCAAAUCACUCUAUCCAUAAUAGACUAGACGAGUCCAGGUAAGAAGUUAUAGAAAGAGAGGGAAGACCUUUCUUGGCCGGCAGUGUCCCAGAUCUGGGCCUUGAUGACUUUUCCGGCGAUGGAAACGGUUCUGGUCUGGAACUCGACGCCGAUGGUGGACUUGGAGUCGAAGCGGAACUCGUUCUUGGCGAACCUGGAGAGCAGCUGGGUCUUCCCCACAGCAGAGUCGCCGAUCACCACCACCUUGAACACGUAGUCGAUCCUAUCGUGGCCGUUCUCUCCGUAGCUCUCCGUGUCGAUCCCAUUCAUUUCUUCCCCCAUCUUCUUUGCUUACACAGAAUGGUACCAGCAAGGACUGAAGGACCAACAAGGAUGUUGACUCUCCAGCCUCACUACUACUUAUCUAAUAUUAAUUAUACAGAGAGAGAGCUAACUAGUGCUAUAAUGCUGGGUUUGGUUUGGCUAUUUGUUGCCUUUGGUCCCGGGUUAAGUGGGGGCAAGUAGACAGAGAGAGACAGAGAGAGACAGAUUACAGAGGUUAAUGGGGUCAAAGGUGAGAAAAAGAAGAGAGAGCAAAGCUACAGGGACGCCAGUUAAGUGACAAAAUUGGCGUUUCUUCCUUUAUCCUUCCUUUUCAGUGCUUUCGGCAUGGAGGACGUACCCUGGCAUCAUUGCAUAUGUACAGUGACUUGCGUCGGAGUCGCGGACGAAUCAACAGAGCCUCUACUCCUUCAACGGCCCAAGUCUUCUCUCCAAAAUUAAAAAAUUGUCAUGCUGACGAAAGUUUACUGAUAUUUACUUAAGCAAGUGAGUGGAACAGGGUCAUUGCCUGCGGUAGAUUGAAAUAACGUGUUUUAGGUUUAAAACUCCUGGUAAUAAGAUUGCAAGAGGGAGACAACAAUGAUUAAUAUGCCCUUUUGCCUGGCGGGUUGACCUAACUUCCGAGUUGGCAUUGAUUAUUCUACAAUAGACAUAUCAUGCUCCCACGCAUAAUUGCCAUGCAUGUGUCAUGAGCCAACGCUUGAGAUUGAGACCAUACGGCAACUUAGAUUUCCUUUGAUUUGUUGGGUCACCUAAGCAAAGCUUUUUCCCAAUGAUCAAUCACUUGCUCACUAAUUUAUCAGGAUCAUAGAGAGGAAGCGUUAGGAGAGAAGCUUUGGAAGAGAAUGUAUUUUUAUUACUUGAAUGUUGAAUGAUACAAAUGAGGGAAAGAGUACCCAUAUUUAUACACGUGGAAAUCUACUCUUCUCAACUACCUUCUAUCACUACUGUCUAGCCUAUUAAAUAUAAGCUAGCAUCUCAUUAAAUAUUUUAAAUACAAAUACACAUUUUCAUGAACUUAUUUUGUUUCUUAGGGUCAUUUCUUAGUAUAUCAAGUCUUGAGAAUCUCGGACCAUGACACAUGUACGAAGGAUUCUUUAACGUUGGAAGGCUUCUUUGAUCUAUUACAUUAGUUUGGCGCGGUCCCUGGUCAAUUAUGUCAAUGUACGGCGAGAAAAGGUUUCUGUGGCUGUGGAUGAACUGAGCAAUGUAGGACCAGCGUGUAUGAUUCGCAGGGGCUACUCGGAAUACAAGGGAAGCUUCAAAAAUGGCAACAAUUAUCUUUUAAUAUGUUGGCACCGACACUCGCUCACGGUACCAUCGUGUUCCUCGCUUGCAUGGAAAGUGUCAUUCCCAAGGGAGGGAGGCCCGCCAAAUUUGGACCACACUAUGGAACCCUUCAUCAGCACAGCCCAGGCUCCAGAAACAGGGUCAUGUCUUGCAUUUGUAAAUCAAACGUAGGCCGUGUUUCGCAGAAGUGAAUCAUAUGUCCUCCCUAACACCAUUAUACCAUGCGGUAUCUGCAUUGAUCCUCAUACAAUUUUGUGCAUAUCUCAAUAUGUCACACCCUAAAACCAUCAAAAAUAGAGAUGACAAACACAGCCUCAAACCAAACUCAAUCCGCCUCCUAAAAGUCCUCAUAGUAGCGUUCUCACUCUACUAGCCACUAACCCAAAUCCCUGAAAAGAUUAUGAAGGAGGGGUGUGAGCAAUCAUAACUUAAUAAGUUGUGUGUAUUUCUUCUAAGCAGAUCAGGCACUCACCAAGCACUUUACAAAACAAUGUGAAAACCUAUUUAUCUAAAUUUAAGUAUAUAAUACUCGUGUAUAUUAGAAAACAUUCAUUAAAUCAAUAAUAUCAUAACAAAUAUCCAUGUCUGGUCCAUUAAUCAAUCUCAACAAUUUACAUAUCAAUGGUCUAUUCUAUUUUUUAUUUAAUCAAAUCACACGUCAAUAGUCCAUUCAUUGACCAAUAUUUUGUUCAAUAUUAAACUAUGAUCACGAUACAAUAUCUAGUGAUAAAACAAUCAAAAUUUUCUCUUGAUAAGAUCUCCACCUACUAUCAAAUUGUGACUUGGUCCAGAUGGAUUCUAAACUAGUAUACGCUUACCCAUAAGCCAAUCAAUGGACUAACAAUGAUAUCAAGCAUCACAAACUCACAACGGUAUUCUUCACGAUUCACAAAGCCAUUCAAAAUCAAUAUCACAAAACAGUUUCAUAAACCAAAAUAUAUAAUCUUUCUCAACCCAUUCAUCAAACAUAAUACAUCUUACGACACGUUUCUCAAACCAUUUUCAAAUCCUUUUCAUAAACUAGGUUUACAAUUCAUUAUAUAUCAUAUCAUUUCGCAACACAUUUUUUAUUACAUUUUCCAAACCACUCUCAAAUACUAAAACGUAGUACAUGCUCGAUCCAAAUUUUUAUAAAAUAAGCAGACUCUUUCAUAACUUAUAGCAUAUCAAAAAUGUAUUGCUUUUAAGACAUGAGUUUAAAAAUUCAUAGAAGAGAUAACACAAAUCACUUAGGAAUAUCCAAACCAACCAAUGCGUAGCUAAACGAAGCGACGAUAUCAUAAUCCUAUCAAUUAAAUGAGAAUUGACGUUAAUCAAGUAAAAUACUACAACAUUACAAAUUGACUAAACAAACGUUUAAACACUAGCAAAACAACCCAAGCACAUUAAUAAAUUGCAUACUCAAAGCAACUAUUCAAGCUAUUCAUAAUGCGAAAUUCAUAUACAAAAUUCUAAAAUUUUGCUCCAACUAAACCGUUGCAAAAAAAUUGUCGGUUGGUCCUGCAUUGACCUGGACCGAACUCAUAGGGUUGGUUAGGUCAUUGGUCUCAGGCUUAACUAGGUCAAUCCUUGAUCCCGAAAAUUAGGAACCGACACUAUGCAAAUUGGUCCAUGGGUUAAAUGCUAGAGCAACUCCUAUAUGCGAUGCCUUGCAAUACGUAACCGGUUGGACUAGACAAACUUUCGUGGCGUGUACGCGAAAUCUCUUUUUCCCUCCUCUUCUUUAUUUCCUUUUUCUCUUCUUCUUUCUUUCUUUUCUUCUCUCUUCCGGCCACUCUCGGCGUGCGCUCUCCUUUCCCUUUUAUAUGGGCUGAACGUGCACUUUUCUCUGACUUUUCAACGCCCUCUUGUUUUAAACCUCACACCUUUUGACAAGUCAAAACCAGCGUAUUCCACAAUCUAUGUUCCUCUCACGUUUUCAGAGAUUUAUAAGCACCACAAAUUGUUCUGCAACAUGUAGCGUAUACCGUAAUUUGCCUAGUCCAUGGUGCUUUUAUUAUUUCAAUGACAUGAUAUGAUCAGUAAACGUAUUGAAAGGGUCCAUUGUCACGAUUUAACCUCUUUUAGACUCGGAUUCGGCAUUAAAUUUUGGACAGGAGGCAUCUAGUCAACUCCAUAUUAUGAUCCUAUCUUGCGGUUGACUUUAAGCAGUUUUUUGGCGGUUCAAACGAAAGAGUCCAAUUCACGGCACAAGAUGACAAAACUCAACUUACAACCUGCACUUAGAAACGAAACGAAACUCAACCACAAGAUGCACCCGGAGACCUUUUAUCCCCUCAUUUUGCAUCCACUCUGCUCUCUCUCAGUUCUCCCUUCCGAGUUCCAAAAUGGAGACCUUAUCAAGCUGCGUCCCCUCCACCCUCCACCUCAACAAGCUCCCCUCCUCCUCCCUGCAUCCCUCCUCCUCCUCCUCUCAUCAUCUCCACUUCAUCUCCCACCGACCCCCAACUGCUGCCACCGCCGCAACUGCCCCUAAUUUCCUCUCUUCUUCAUCCCUUCACUCUUCCUCGCCCUCUAAUUCUCUUUACGGCAUCAGCGGCAACGCCGACAAUUGUGCAUUAUCUCCUGUCAAGGUCCACAGAAAAGCCGCGACUGGCUAUGCCGCAGCUCUCAUAGACGCAGCUCAAUGCAACCAAUCCCUCGGACGAGUCGAGUCCGACGUCCGCAGGCUGUCCCUGUUGCUCCGCUCCGUGCAGCUCGGAGAAAUCUUUGGCAACCCUUUUGCGAGCCACGCCGACAAAGAAAGGAUUCUCAAGGAAAUAUCCAAGCAAGGGAGGUUCCACAGGCACCUGGUUGCCCUGUUGAAGAUGUUCAUACGCAAAAACCAUCUCGAAAUGGUCGGCGAGGUGUUGGAGGAGUUCAAGAGGAUCUACCGCGACAUGAUGAGUGGAUCGGGAGCAGCAGCCUUGUCAUUGCCGGCGAUGAAAAGGGUCGACGCCACUGAUGUAAGGAGAUCAUUCACGGUUGAUGAGGCCUCAGGAUCUUUUGCCAUGUGAAGUCAUAUGUCGUCUGUUUGUGGUGGUUGGGCAGUUUUCGUCACAGCCCUGUAUUCUGGUAUUUCAAUCGACUGUGUCGAUUUAUUAGUACAUCGUCGAUGCACGUUUGCAGACAAUUUAGCUCAUCAACUAUCCGAGGAUCAAUCGAAAUGCAUGCUUAAUUACAUCCUACAGCCUAGAUUUUAUCGUGAACUUGUCAAAAGCUGAUGUGAUUAAUUCGAACACGUGCGGUGAGGGACCCUGAUAUUUUCUCGUCUGUCCGAUUAAUCGUUGCCCGAACAGAGGAUACUCACUGUCCCAUUCGCAACGCCCCCUCGCGGCGCUCGAUUGAGAUGUGGAGAUGCACCCGCCGCGGCCACCUCAACGGCGGUCGCGCCGCCGUCGCCCCCUCCGCCCUCGCCGUCCACUCGCUGCCCGACGCCGAGCUCGGCAGCGCCCCCGCCCUCGAUCUCAACUCCUACACGGUGACGCCGCCCAUCAAGCCCUGGCCCAAGCGCCUCUUCCCGAAGCGCCUGGCCUCCAUGGUGAGCCGCCAGCAGAACCUCGACCUCGCCCUCCAAAUCUUCGACUACGCUGGCAAAUACCACCGGGGCUUCUCCCACAACUACGACACCUAUCUCUCCAUCAUCCAACGCCUCUCCCGCGCCCGCGCCUUCGAGCCCAUGGAAUCCCUCCUCUCGCAGCUCCGGGGCUCCCGCAUCCCCUGCGGCGAGAACGUCUUCAUCUUCGUCAUCCGCAAUUACGGCCUCGCGGGCAAGCCCAGGUUGGCCCUCCGGACGUUCUUGGGCAUUGACGGCUUUGGCGUCCAGCGUUCCGUCCGAUCUUUGAACACUCUGCUCAACGCUCUGGUCCAAAACAAGCGCUUCGAUUUGGUCCACACGAUUUUCAAGAACUCCAAGACCAAAUUCGGGGUUGUCCCCAACGUGUUCACCUGCAACAUUCUGAUCAAAGCGCUCUGCAGGAAGAACGAUGUGGAGGGCGCGCUCAAGGUGUUAGACGAAAUGCCCUCCAUGGGCAUGAUUCCUAAUGUGGUCACUUACACCACCGUUCUGGGUGGGUAUGUGUCUCGCGGGGAUAUGGAAGGUGGUAAGAGGGUGUUUUCCGAGAUUCUAGACCGCGGGUGGCUGCCGGAUGCCACUACCUACACCAUUUUGAUGGAUGGGUAUUGUAGGUUGGGGAGGUUGGUCGAUGCCAUUAAGGUUAUGGAUGAUAUGGAGGAAAUGGGAGUUGAGCCCAAUGAUGUGACUUAUGGGGUUAUGAUUGAAGCCUACUGCAAGGAGAAGAAGUCCGGUGAAGCUCGCAACUUGCUCGACGAUAUGCUCGAGAAGAAGUAUGUACCAAGCUCAGUGCUUUGCUGUAGAGUAAUUGAUGUUUUGUGUGAGCAAGGUAAGGUCGACAAUGCCUAUGAACUAUGGAAGAGGCUUUUGCACAAGAACUGUAUGCCAGAUAAUGUCAUAUCGAGCACGCUUAUAUAUUGGCUCUGCAAGGAAGGGAAGAUUUGGGAUGCCAAGAAGCUCUUUGAUGAAUUUGAGAAAGGAUCUAUUCCCAGUGUGUUGACAUACAACACACUUAUUGCCGGAAUGUGUGAGAGGGGCGAGUUGUGCGAGGCAGGGAAGCUAUGGGAUGACAUGGUGGAGAAAGGGCAUGUUCCCAAUGCUUUUACGUAUAACAUGUUAAUCAAAGGGUUCUGUGAGUUGGGUAAUGUGGAUGAAGGCAUAAGAAUUUUCGAGGAGAUGGUGGAGAAAAGUUGCAUGCCGAAUCAAUCCACUUACUAUAUAUUGAUUGAGAGUCUCUAUAAUGUAGGAAGAGUAGAAGAAAUCUCCAGGAUUCUGUCGACCGCCAUUUCUUGUCAAUCACUUGAUAGUGAUUCUUGGGAGUUUUUGGUAGCGAAGUGUAUCCGUAAUUUGGACAGGGGGGAUGGGCAUGUUGAGAGAGUGAUGUCAGAGAUUUCUACUUUCUGAUAUCAGUCAAUACGGAUUACCAUCAGGAAUUUGAGUACCAGGAUUCACGUCUCAACUGUCCGACCUCCUUGCUUCCUUAAGCAAUGUACGCUAUAGACAUGCGAAAGUUUCUAGUGCAUAUAACUCUAGAGAAUUUGAACUGAUAAUUGCAGUUUGUCUUGGUGCGGGAGAAAACCACGAUGCUAACGAGAAGAAAAUGUAGGUUUGAUUGCUCAAGCUGUGCUGGCUUCCAGUUACUGCGUUGCAACUGUGACGCAUGGACAGGACCUGGAUUAAGCUUUCUAGGACCUUAUAGACUACCAGCUUGCAGGGUGAUUUCAUUAUAAUUCAGAAAUAAAAGUUCCCACUCGGGGUUCUUGGGCUGCAUAUUUGGAGUGAUUGCCCAGACUUGCCCCGAUGCCUUCCUCUUUGACUGAUGAAGACAUUGAAGUGGUUGCCUCAAAUUUUUGGCAGCAGGAAUCAUAUGCUCUCUCGCUCGCUCAUGAAGAGCUUUAAAUUAGUCUUCUUACCUUUGAUAGAUGUAAAUGUUUGUAAAACGACACACCUGAUUUAUUUAGAUCAAGUUCUUUCUUUCAGCAAGUUCCAUGUCUGCAUGGUGACGAUAGCAGUUUUGUUUUUACGACUAUAGCAAUUUCUUUGUACAAAAUUGUCGAAGUAAACAACGUGUUGCAUCCAGGAUUGAUCUUGUCCAAAGUAAAACCAUAGGUGCGCAAAUUCCUUGUAAACGCUGAACGAACAAGACAUAGGGUGUGUUGUUUGAAUAAAAGAAUCUUUCCCUCUAGACUUUCACGCAUUUUUUUGCUGAAAAUGAUUCAUCAAUGGAAAACAUAUGCGAUCAACAAAAAAUAUGGAAUGCUUCAAAGGUUAGGAAAACAAAUUUCCUAAACCGAAAAAGUGGCUCCAGCGACUGUGCUAUGCGGAGGUUGUGGCUGGCAAUAUAGCUGUUCCACAGGUUCCCAUGGUUUCUCUUGGGUGAUUUGUGUUUUCAGGCGAUACUUCACAACAUCCUAUGAACCGAUUGAGACAAAUUCAUGCCUACACGCUCAGGAACGGCAUAGACAACACCAAACGUCUCAUCGUCGAGCUCCUUCAGAUCCCAGACAUCUCCUACGCCCACCGGCUCUUGGACCACGCUCCCAACCCAACUCUCUUCCCCUUCAACAAGCUUAUCCAGGCCUACUCCUCUCAACGCCAACCCCUCCAAUGCCUCCACCUCUACUCCCGAAUGCGCCUCCGUGGCUGUCCUCCCAACCAACACUCCUUCACUUUCCUCUUCGCCGCCUCCGCCUCCCUUUCCUCGCCUCUGCCGGGCAUGAUGCUCCAUACCCAUUUCGUCAAGUCCGGUUUCGACUUCGAUGUCUUCGCGUUGACGGCUCUGAUCGAUAUGUAUGCUAAGCUUGGCGAACUCGGAUCAGCUCGUCAGGUGUUCGACGAAACGCCCAUGAGAGAUACACCCGUCUGGAACUCCAUUGUUUCUGGCUACGCGAAACGCGGGUACAUGGUGGAAGCUUUGCAGUUGUUCAGGAGAAUGCCUUGUAAGAAUGUGAUCUCAUGGACGUCCAUCAUAUCGGGUUACUCGCAAAACGGGCACAGUGAGGAUGCCCUGAAGAUGUUUCUAGAGAUGGAAGAGGGGGGCUUUAGACCGAAUGAAGUUACCGUAGCUAGUGUUCUCCCAGCUUGCGCGAAUCUUGGUGCUCUGGAGAUUGGGGAAAGGAUUGAAACAUAUGCAAGAGAAAAUGGUUUUUUCAAGAACAUCUAUGUGUGUAAUGCUUUAUUGGAGAUGUACGGCAAGUGUGGUAAAAUUGAUGCUGCGAGGAGGGUGUUUGAUGAGAUUGGAAGCAGAAGGGGAUUGUGCUCCUGGAAUACGAUGAUCACUGGCUUGGCUGCCCACGGAAAGUGCAAUGAGGUUCUUGAGCUCUAUGACCUGAUGCUGGUAAGCUGUCAUCCUCACUAGUUUCUUCUCAUGAAUUGAGGUCCAGAUUUCCUGUUAAUAUGUUUACUGUCUCCAAAUUUAUUGUGCACUAGAGUGAAGGAAUCAUACCAGAUGACAUCACAUUUGUGGGACUUCUCUUGGCAUGCACCCAUGGAGGCUUGGUCGAAGAAGGCAAACGGCUGUUUAAAUCAAUGGGAACCGAUUAUGGGAUUUCUCCAAAACUAGAGCACUAUGGUUGCAUGGUUGAUCUUCUAGGUCGUGCUGGCAAGUUGCAAGAAGCUCGUGAUCUUAUCCGAAGUAUGCCUAUGAAGCCAGAUUCUGUGAUAUGGGGUGCUCUUUUAGGAGCCUGCAGUUUCCAUGGCAACGUUGAAUUUGCUGAGGAGGCAGCAGAGUCCCUCAUUGAGCUUGAGCCAUGGAACCCGGGAAAUUAUGUCAUCCUAUCUAACAUAUAUGCAUCAGUGGGCCGAUGGCAUGGAGUCGCAAAGCUAAGGAAGAUGAUGAAGGGAGAAAAUAUAACAAAGGCAGCCGGAUAUAGUAUCAUUCAAGAGGGAGGAGAAAUCCACAAGUUUAUAGUCGAAGAUAAGUCGCAUGUAAAAUCGAGUGAAAUUUACGCCGUGGUGUGGGGUAUUUCAGCUGCAAUGAAGAUUCAAAAACAGCCAACGGAUUUUGAAUGUGAACUUGUAGAGUUCUGAUUGAUGUUAUUCUUUGGGUAUUUUCUCUUUUGCAAGAGACACUCCUAGAAAGUAAUUAUUCCGUGUAAUGCUGCCCAAAGUACAAGUAUUAGCUCUUUCGGUUUUCUUUUUUUUUUUUUUGUUAAAUUGGGUAAGCGUCCCAAGGUACACAGUUGACAUACUUUGUCCACUUUAACGUAGUGCAAUAGUCGACCUCCAAGAUUGUACUCAAAGCACUCGACAUAAAAUUCUCAAACCCACUGACAGCAGUGGGACGCAGCAAGUUAUUGCUCAUGCAAAGCUAGGCAACGAGGGAUACCGAGCUGCUAAUACAAAAUAGUGGGAAACGAACAUUUCCAGAUAUUCAUCUUAUUCAAUAACGGACAGAUUGAUCUCUUUUGACUUUUGCUGUUGUAAGAAAUUUAUGAACUUUAAUUCACACAAGAACUGUUUAAAAAGGCUCCCAAAUAAGUUAGUACAGUUGUCGUUUCCUUCGUCACACUGUCAAGCUAGCUGUAGAUUAUGCACUCUUCUCUUUUGUUCUCCUUCUUCGACUCCUUCCCAGCAACUUAAGAACCUCAUCAAUAAGGACCACCGGUGCAGAAAUCAAUAUGACCAGCACCCACUCGCUCAAACUCAAAGGAACAAUUCCAAACACAUCGGCGAGGAGUGGAACAUAGAGAAUAAGACAGUGAAGCCCAAAGGAGAUCGACAUGGCCAGCAAAAGCCAAGGGUUUUUCCAAGGAGGCAUUGUGAGCAAGCUGUUGUCUUCCGACAAGGCAUUUAAGGAAUUGAACAUCUCAAUUGCCACCAAGACAGAGAGUGAUAGAGUCAUGGCUUUCACUUUACCAACCGUGAAGUAGUCACAAGGAUUGACAAAGGCGAUCAUCUGUCCCCCACUCACAGUGAAAGGAGUCACGGUAAAAUUUGACCAUGAGGAGCACUCUCCCCAGUUGCGAAGCUGAGAAAGUUCAAUCAGUGUAUGGCCAUCACUGACAAGAUUGAUACCCAGAAAAGAUGGCUGCGUGUACCACAGGAUGAAGAUGCCGACAGUUGCCAUGCCCACAUACAUGCCAAUCACCUGUAAAAAUUUUAAGCAUAGAGUGUAAACUACCUCAAAAGUAACAAUACUUUUCAACAUCGACACAUGGUGGUAAAUCACUUCUGAUUCCCAACAUUGCAAAGUGCCACAGCAAUUAAAAAGAGGAUUGGGCGGUUUUGUCGUUCAGCGACAAUUGCAGUAACACUUAAAAUAUGCGAGUCAACUCGUAAAAACUGAAGUAACAUUUCAUGAACUAAGAUGCUAAUUGGAUGAAUAUAGAUGCAAUGGUAGGUCAGAUAGUAUCAAACAAUACUGACCAAGUAGCGUAAGAGAACCCAAGGUGUGAUCAAUGCAUCAUCACUUUUGCGGGGUGGCUUCUGCAUGAUAUCAACAUCAGCAGGGUUAAAACCAAGAGCAGUAGCAGGUGGCCCAUCGGUGACCAAAUUUACCCACAGAAGCUGCACAGGUAUCAUACAUUCUGGUAUACCCAAUGCAGCAGUCAAGAAAAUGGAAAUGACCUCGCCGACAUUUGACGAAAUCAUAUAACUGCACAUUGAAACAAGACCUUCAUUUUCUAACCACAUAGCGGAAGAAAUGUGAAUUACGCGUCUAAUAGCAAGAUACUCACCGAAUGAAAGCCUUCAUGUUAUUGUAGAUAGAGCGACCUUCUGCCACCGCUGAUACUAUGGUACCAAAAUUAUCAUCUGCCAAAACCAUAUCUGAAGCUUCUUUUGCCACCUGUAGGUACACACGCAGGAUUAAUAAUGUCAUCUUCUACUUGCUUUGAAAAUAAACAUUUCAUUAGCCCGGGUUAUGGGAGGAAUACAAGGAAAACACAAGGAUAAUGACAUUUCGGAGAAAUAAGCAACUGCUGUUCCUAGAGCAUCCUUCAAAAAGCAAUGUGUAGUAAUUUAAUCUUAAUAAAAGGGCACAGGCAAAUAAUUAGACAAUUUUAGAAUCUUCUGAGCUGACCUCUGUUCCUGUUAUGCCCAUGGCAAUACCAAUGUCAGCAAGUUUAAGUGCAGGUGCAUCAUUCACUCCAUCACCAGUCAUUGCAACAAUCUGUCCCAUCUCCUUCAGCAUUCUCACAAUUUCUUGCUUGUGCCUAGGUUCCGCUCGAGAAAAAACAAUUCCUCCAGGUCUUUUCAGAAUUUCAGUCUGCUUCGAAGGAGAAAGAUCCAUGAACUCUUUACCUGUGAAACUUCUGCCCCGUAGAUCAUUUUCAGCGAGCAAUCUAAUUUCCUGGCAAAUGGCCUCAGCUGUGGACUUGUUAUCGCCAGUUAUCACCAUGACCUUAAUGCCUGCUCUUCGACAAUCCUCAAUAGCCUUGUCUAUAUCAUCACGCGGAGGAUCCUGUUGAAAGAGAUUGCGAGUCAACAAUCAGAAAAUUAUCACAACUGCAACAUCUGGAGGUAACACUGACCAAGUAGAUGUGAUGCUUACUCGUAAUCCAACAACUCCUACAAAAACUAAGUCACUUUCAACUGAGGAGUAGAAGGCAGGGUCCAGCAACUUCCCAUGGGCUGGAUGGCUGUCAUUGUUGUAGUCCGAAAAUUCUCCGAGGUCAUCCUUAUAUGCCAAUCCCAAGCAUCGCAGCCCCUUUGAAGACAUCUCCAUAAGUUUUGAAAGCAGUAGUUCCUUACAAGGUUCAUCAAUGGGAACAAGAGAUCCAUCUGCCAGUUGAACGUGCGAACUACGAUCCAGUAAGCUCUCCACAGCUCCCUGCAUAUGACACGACAAACAAUUCAUGAGCAACACUAGACGAAUACAGGCAAGUACUUGAAAAGCUAACCCGAGAUGAAUUUCCUUUCAGAGAAAUACAUGGUAGUGCAUCAAAAAAGGGAUACUGCGAACCAAUUCAUCACAACCUAGAGAUUGGAUAUAAGAGUCCUCAUGAUAUUGCUUCAACAGAGUGAAAUAAAAACCAUGGGUUCCACAUUAUCGAUAUUUUGGCUCCUUGCCUAAAUCAAGGGCUGAAAAAAAAUUCCAUGGGGUUGACAGCUUCAUAUAAAAAUACUACUGAAAGCAUGGUUUACAGACACUCGAUCCAAGUUAAUUCUAGAACUUUGUACUUAAAAAUAAGAUAAGAAAGAAGCAUGACUUUACCCUUCGAUUUACCAAAUUGUGUUAACUUUGACAGAGCAAUAUCAGAAAUAUAAGAUCAUGAAAUGCAUCUAUAAUAGCCAAUCUUCUACAGUAGCAUAUUAAGGAUUGAUCAAACCUAGAACCAAUGGAGAAUCAAGGCAGAUUUUUUAACUACUCUGGUGGACUUCCAAUAAGGCAUCCGAGGAAGUCAAUCUUCUGGGAACACAAAAACCACCAAGUAUUUCUACAUGUUUGAAUUUGACACCUGGUUGACUUUUAACUUGCAAACAUGAAUAAAGACGCAUCCUGCAUAUUAGAAGCUACUACAUAACACUGUUCUGUUAUUCACCUUUACAAGAAGGCGAUUGCGCCCUGUUGGCUCCCGGGCAAUGACACUCAUUGAUUUCCGGAUGCGAUCAAACUCCAAAGUGGCAAUUCGUCUUGACCUUUUGUUCCACCAAUCACAACAGCCUAUAUUGAACCAGACUCGUGAGAUAUACAGUAGAGUUGUAUGACUUCAAAUUGUAUACCGAGCAAGAAACAGAUCAAUCCUCACCUAAAUUCACUGAUCUGCUAUCAAUCAAGUAGUUUGCAGCCAGCCUCGCAUCACGGAUUUUGUUCCUGAUCGUAGCAUCUGGAACUCCCAUUUUUUCAACUAAAACCUUGAGAGCAGCCUCAGUUGGCAAUCCUGUGGCUCGGAAAAGACGACCUUCACUAUAUAUCCCAGAGUCAUUGCAAACUGCACAGAUUUCUGCGACAGCUUGUAAGUUGGCAUCCAUGUUGUAGCAGUUCCAAUCAACAAUACCGCCAUCUUUCGGAUCAUAGGUCGUGCCUUCUACAUAGAAAAUCCGUGAUGUGGUGGUCUUCCCCCCCAAAGUGAAAAAUUCACUAACAGACAUCUGAUUUGUGGUUAAUGUUCCUGUUUUAUCAGAGCAAAUCACAGUUGUGCAUCCUAAAGUUUCUACACUAGGAAGCUUCCGCACUAUUGCGUUCUUUUGUGCCAUCUUCCUGGUUCCUAAAGCUAAACUAGUCGUAAUAACUGCAGGGAGACCUUCUGGAAUUGCAGCAACAGCAAGGGCAACUGCAAUUUCAAAAUAGUAGGUGCACUUCUGGAAUGAGAACUGCACAUUUGCAGGCCACCCAUCCACAACCUCCCAUGAGAGGAAGUUUCUGUAGUUUGUAAUCCAUACGAUGAGACAAACAAGCCCAAUCGCAGUGGUAAGCCUGCCCCCAAAUUCAUCCAGCUUCUUUUUCAAGGGAGUGUCCGUCUCUUCCAGAGAAGCCUCGUGUAUUUGCUUUUGAAUUUUCCCAAGCUCAGUGUUCAUUCCGGUGCUUACAACAACACACAUGCAGGUCCCAUUGACAACUACAGUACCGGAAAAAACCAUAUUUUCCUUGGCUUGCAACUCACAGUCGACCAUAGCGAUAGGACUAGUUCCUUUCAGAACAGGUAUUGCCUCACCAGUCAAUGAGCUCUGCUCCACUCUGAAUGUCAAUGUCUUCAGCGAAACGACUCUCAUAUCAGCCGGGACCUUGUCCCCAACCCUUAAUUCUAUUAUAUCCCCUGGAACAAGCUCCCUCGCAGGCAAAUCAGGGACCAAGUACCCAUCCCUCAGAACUCUUCCAGAUUCACACUGCAUCUCCUUGAGGGCAUGAAGUGCCUUUUCUGCAGUACUUUCUUGCCACACGCCAACAAUGGCGUUAAGCACCAAAAUCAACAUAAUCACAAAGGGUUCAACAUAUGCCUCAAAACCAGAAUCAACCGACUCACUUCCAUGCAUGUAGGCUAAGAUGAACGAAAUAAACGCCGCACCCAAAAGUAUCUUAACAAGGAUAUCAUCAAAUUGAUCUAGGACGAGCCGCCAUAAAGGCUUUCCCUUCUCUUUGGAAAGUUCAUUCCAGCCAUAUCUCUCACGCAGCUUCUCAACCUCAUAAGAGCUAAGACCCUUGUCUAGUUUCACUUUGUAUUCCUUUAGACACUGCUCUACCGAGCAUGACCAUGCUGGAAAUGGCCUUUCCUCCAUUGACCAUCCACUAUGAAGUCGAGUUUCGCGGACAGUAUGAAGCUCAGACCGAAGUUACCAAGAACUCAUCCGAGCGCACCUAUGACCACAAAAUGAACUUAUGGUGUUAACACGAACAAUCUAAAAGCAAGAGAGCUCUCUACUUAAUGGAGAGAAGGUAUUAUUGUCCAACAAUGUGAAGCCGGGCCCGAAGAAACUGGCCGUUUCUUCUCAAAUUGCAACUGCCAUAAAGUUCUCUACGCGGACUACCAAAAGCCAGUUACGAAAAUUGAUUUACAACGGAUCUACUGAGACAUGCAGAAACCAAAGAAAUUCUGUAUAAGAGACUAACCUGACUGUAUGACUCCCUACCAAAACAAGGAGCGAGACCGCCAGGCACGAACGCUAAAACUGCAAACAACAGAGAAGAGAAGUUGAAAACUGAAAUACACUCGAGCAGAGGCAGAGCCGGACGUUUAGCAUUCUAGCUAAAGAACUUACCAAGCCAAAGAACCCAGCAGGAACUUGGCGUCACAAGAGAAGAGGGAGAGCUUUAAAAGCACGAGAAAGGCGAGGCAGUAAGCACCGCGGAAGGUGGGAUGAGGAGCUUCACAGGCAAGUCGAACGAGAAAAGAAGCAGGCUUAUAGACAACGCUAAACCCCAAAAGGAGAAAUUCUUGGGUUCCCUCUGUUUACCAUCAUCUUCAAGACACCAGCCGACUGCGAUGCGUCGCAAAAUUUGAACUUGCGACUGGGUUUCGUCUUUUGCUUUUUCUCAGAGAAUCACAGAAGCCACCCCAAACGAAUCUACUCUCUCUCUCUCUCUCGAACGAGAAUAAUUCCCACGACGCUGAACGGUUACAAAGAAAGGAUUUUGAACGAGGCACGUCGUUUCGACAAUAAAACGGAUUUUAAUCCCCGGGAAGUUGACUUUACGUAGGGCUAAAUGAAAGUACUAAUCAGUUUGACGCGCGACCGGUCGCGCGUCCCCGUACUCUCACACACAGACAGACACAGUGGAAUCCUAAGGAGCAGAAACUUGCUGGAGACGUCACGACGAGAUAACGCCAAAAUUUGAACGUUUCACUGAAGAAAGACACAAAUUAGUACUCCUAGAGUCCUCCGCCUUUAGCAAAGUAUCUCUAGAACCAUCCCAGAAAUUGAACUAACCUUACCUUUUUUCAUGUUCUUGUUGAGUCAUGCUCGGGUGACGAAACAUAUUCGACUCAAUUUCGCUCGACUCAGCCUUGUCCCGAUCGGCAUCGUUGGGAUAACUUUUAGCCUUCUUUUUUUUUUUUUUUUAAUGUUUUGGUUAGACUGAGUAGCUGUACUAACAGUCUACGAGAUAUGCCAAUUAGUUCCGUCUUCCAAAGAAUAGUAGAAUCCUAUUGGUUUGGUCACUUGAUAAAACUAAAGAUCAUUACUUUGCUUGUCGUUUGUACAUGUGCUGAGUUCCAAACUUGUAGAGGAAGUUGAUUCGGGCAUAUGGUCGUUGGGGUGGCUGGAUCCAGCUCCAAUAAUCAUUGCAUCUAAAGCAGAAAAAGGGGGAUUAAUAGAAUACGACCGUGGAACCAAAAGUUAAAAAUUAAGAAAAUGGGUGGUGACAGGGAAGGGGGCCGAGAUAUGGACCAUUAAUAAUGCCUCCUUUCUGGUUAAGUUAAUUUUGCUCCGCCUAUUGGGCCGGCGGCGUGCGUGUUACCAUACGAUAAACAAAUGAAUUUCUCUUUCUGCGAUUCUUAUAUCUUAUGUUUACUUUUGGGGACUGAAAUUCCACGAAGCUUCUUAGUACCCACCCCCGCAGUUCCCCGACACUUCACGUGACGUCGUCGGUUCCGUCAUCCGAUGGCGAAUAUCGCUUUUCUGAAUAUCGUUUAUAAAAAUAAAAAUAAAAAAAUUGUGGCUCUCCUUCUCCCUUCUGACAUUUGAGCUUCACCAUAUCUAUUUUGAGAAAAUUAUCCAAAACACUAGAAUUAUUUUGCGACCAUUAAUUCACUUCCAAACAUUUCAAGCAUACAAAUUCUCCUCAAACUUAUCAAAUUUAGAUUUAAACUUUUUAAUUGAAUCAAUUUAGUCUUAAAUCUCUUUAAUGAUUUGUCAAACUUAGUUAUUCCUAAUUAACGCCGAAUCUUCUAUAUGAUAUAGUCGAUACUAACGUACUCAAUUUGUUAUAAUUUUUUUAAUCUUUAUGAACUUUAUUCUUUCUUUCUUUCUUUUUUUCCUCUUCUUCUUUUUUCCAUUUUCCCUCCGUCGAGCCUCGUUGAUGACCACUCCCUCGGCCUCAGGUAAGUGACACUCACACCUGGGUUGCCCUCAUCAAGGGCCAAGAAUGCAGCCAUAGCCUCAUGCUAACAAAGGGCAAAAAAAAAAGAAGGAAAAUCAGAAAAUUUAAAAAUUCGUUCGCAUCAAUACUGAUCAUGCCACAUAAAACAGUUGAUACUAAGUACACCGUCAUGUCAACGAUUUCCAGUUAAAAUCGAUCGAAAUAACUAAAUUAGCAAAUCGUUAAAAUGUUUAAAACUAAAUUGACAAAAUUUAAAAAUGUAUAACUAAUUUGACAAGUUGUCAAAAAGUCAGGAUUAAGCUAACACAAUUAAAAGGUUUAAAUUUGAAUUAGCCAUCACAUGAUAAAUUAAGUACUAUUUAGACAAUUUUCAACCAUUCCAUCACUCAAUUUGUAAGUAGAAAACCAAGUUGAAAAAGAGGGUGGUGGGCAUGUUGUGUUAGUGGAUGGCCAUAUUGGAGGUCGGUUGGUGAAUGAAGUUGGCCUGCUGCGACUGGGAGUCUCCUGCCAAUGGACUCGUUGCCACGCCUUUGCCUCCUAAGGGGAACUCGAUAGUUUGCUUUCAGAGUCAUUAUUCAACCCCCUACUUUCCUAUUGCGAAGGCAUAUUGGUAGGGCCCGCAAUGGCUCGAGUGUGCCCCUCUCUUCCUUUUUCUAGUCAAAGGUUUAGGUGGGGAGGAGCCACAACAGGUACGGGGUUCAAAAGCAAUCCCAGGAAAACGGAAAAGGAUGAUUCGACUUCCGACGAAAAGCAACGAGGGGGACCUCGCUAGUCUAGGAACUUGACUUUUUGUCAUGCCUCCAGGUUUCUCGCGCGCUUGGAGAACCGUUCCUUGACUUGACUUGAUUCAGGCAAAAAUGCUUGCAGGAUAAGCUUACUCAUUUUUCUCUUGUGCUGAUGAGGGAGGUCUAGAGUUACUUUUAUUUUUUUUACGUAAAUCUAGAGCGACGUUAGUAUGGGGACCCACCUCCCACGGCACUGUACUUAAGUCGCGCAAAUGCGACUGCGGUGGUUUGAACCUCCCCCAACCGGAAGAGGGGCGAACGCCGAACCAACGCAUCCACAGCGGGGUGAAUAAGUUACUUCAUAGUAUCGAGAAGCAAAAAUGGUGAAAGAAACCUUUUUGAGGACUUUGUUACUAUCGUUAACAAGCUUGAUCGACAAAAAUCGUAAACUCUUGGUUUGUAAUCUACCUUUUGCUUAAUUGUGUUCUAAAUUAUGUGGCGAAACGCCUCGGAUCUAUUUUAAUGAUGGCCAACUAAUGAGUUUGAGUAUAAUGAAGAAAAACAUUCACAGAAAAUGUUCUGUCAGAAAAUAAUUUUUUCCAGCAUUAAAAUAUAAGUCAACUGAAAAUCUUUUUCAUUUUCAAUAGUAAACUAAUAAUUAAAUUCAGUAAAGUUGAUUUUCUUUUUUAAGGAUUAAAAAUCAUUUUCUAAGGUAUGACUAAAUAUCGGCACUUAAACCAAAGACCUCGACACGUGGACAUGAAAACCUUGAUGCCCGUGUCCAAGUUCUCAACAGCAUAGCUCGAGUCCAUAGACGUUGGGCCUAGGUCCAUAGAUGCCAAGCCUAUGCUUUGGGUCCCCAAUCCCGAGCAAAGAUUGGAUCCACAAAAGCCACGCAAAUGCCUAUAGAGCCUAGUGCUUGGGUCUGAGUCCUCAUUGGUCAUACCUAAGUACUCGGCUCCCAUGCUCAAGUCAUCAACGUCUAAGCUUAGGUCCAUUAAGGUUGAACCUAGGUCCAUAGAGAUUGGCCAUUGACCCAAAUGCCAAUGCUUGAGUCUUUAGCAGCCAUGCCCAAGUAGCCCACUCUUGUGUCCAAGUCACUAACACCAACCCUACGUCCAUUAAGGCCAAGUCUGGAUCUUUGGUAACCAUGCUUGAGUACCUAGUUCCACACCCAAGUCAUCAGUAACGAGACUCGAAUCCUCAACGGCCAAGCCCAAGUCACUUGAGGCCGAGCCCAAUACCCUAGCACCCCCAAACAGGUCUCUAGCAAUUGUGCCUGAGUACUUAGAGGCCAUGCUCAAGCACUCGACUCUCAUGCUCAAAGUCAUUGGCACCCAACCCCUAGACAACAAUGCUCCUUGUCCAAGUACUCGGGGUCAAGUGCCCAAGUAUUAGGCUCCCAUGCCAAAGUCACAAUUGCCCCCCCACCUGGGUCCACAUAGGCUAGGUACUCAGUUCCUGGGUCCAACUAACGAGCACCUCAGUCUCUUGAAGUCAAGCUCCAAACCCCAAUGCCCAUGCCUAAGUCCAUAGUGGUCAUGCCUAGAUACUCGACUCCAGUGUCCAAGUUAGGGCCUAGGUCUCUCAAGACAUUGGUGCCCACACUUAGGUAAUUGGCAGCCAUGCUUGAAUACCCAGCUCAUGCGCCCAAGUCAUUGGCGUUGGGGUCCUGUUCCUUCGUGGUCAGGCUCGGUCCCUUGAGGCAAUGUCCGAGACCUUGAUUGAUAGUUCCCUGGUCAUCGUUGCCUAAGCCUGGUUCUAUCAAGGCCGAGCAUGGGUCCCUAGUGCUGGUGCUCGGGUUCCGAUUAGGGACCAAAAGGUCAUGGAAAGAUCCUCUUCCUCGACGAAACAAAUCGGAGGCCACGUGGUGGCCGAAAGAAAGAAAGGUCGGGCUUUCCUCCAAAACAUGGUGGGCCGGGCUUAGCUCAUGGGCCCAUUUUCAAGACGAAGAAAUGAAAAUCAACGGACGAAAUCCCGCCACGCUAGAGCUGCUCCAAAAGAACUUUGCGCCUCCUCCAUUCACUUCUCCUAUAAACUCCACUCCUCCUCCUCCUCCUCCUCCUCCUUCGCUUCGUCCUCUCCUCUCCGAUCCUCCGCCUCCUCUUCGAGAACUUUGUGCGCGUGCCAGGAUCGACCCAAACAUCCAAGCCCUACUCCCAAAGGUACUCGUCCUUCUUCGUCUGUAGAUCAUCCUCAGGUUCUCCAUCGAGCUCUGACGAUGCUGGUGGCGAACUCGGUUUUACUCGUAUUAGCAAUCCGGAUUUUCAUCCUCGCGAUUUCACGCUGCGUCAUCGUCUGAUGUUGCCCUGUUUCAUUUCUUGACGUUUCUUCUUUGUCGGAUGUGACGGUAGUAUCAUUCGCUUUCGUAUUUCUGACUUGAAAACGCCUGUGGCUGUGAUCUUCGGAGCGGGGUGCAAGUUUUUUUUUUUUCAGAGCAUCUUGCGUUCUCUCUUUAACCGUCGGACUCGGUUUCCUCCUCCUUGUUCUCGAUUUCGUGUUCCAGGGCGGCGAAUUAGCGAGGAUGAGGCCGGUUUUCGUGGGAAACUUCGAGUACGAUACUCGCCAGUACGAGCUGGAGCGCCUCUUCUCCAAGUACGGGAGGGUUGAGCGCGUUGACAUGAAAUCUGGUAAAUCGAUCGAUCGAUUCUGUGCUGCACGUCACCUUAUCGCAUAUGUGUGUGUAUAUAUAUUUGCAACAUUUGCUUUUCACGUGUUGUAAUCCUCUUAUGAUGGUAAAGUCUGAAUCUUUUUGGGGAGCUCGUGAUUAUGAGCCAAUGUGGAACGAAUCCGGUUCGCCCAUUUAUUACCCCUCCGCGAUUUUGCACCCGACGCUGUCUUUACUGCCUUUCCUUAGUCGCAAAUUUCCUCGGGGAGUUAAGUUGAUACCGUUUAUGGUUCCUUUCUAUGACUCAAUUGGAUAGGUUUCAUGAGUUUGGCCGUGCCUGGAACUCUAGGAAUUAUAUGCUUCCCUUGUCCUCCCCCUUUCCAAUUCCAUGUUCUUCUGAUUCAUGAUAUUUAGUUUUCAUUAAAGCCUUGUGACAUGCAAUUUUCUGUAUAUUUUAUGCACGUGUGGUGGUGAAUAUUUCCCUCGUCCCUGCUGACACUAGUUGUGGAAGUCACUUAACAUUAACCAACUUGAUAAUAUGCUAACCAGCUUGCUGGAUGUACAACUUAUCGUGUCAAUAUUAGCUGGUGCUACUUUAAUUUGGAUCUUAGGUUCAAAAAAUGAUUGCUGUUGUCUGGGAGAUAAAAAAGAAUCGAGUUUCCAUGUCCCAAACUGUUAGAAAGUAGAAUCUGGUCCUUGGCCCUUUGUUUUAUAGCCUGUCUAUUUAAGUGGGCUGCAUGUCUGGUCGGUGCUCCAAUUUAAGUCAAAAAGGAAAGAUGGCCUCUGUUUCUGAUAAUUGAAUACAGUCGCUGGGAAUUGAACCCCAUUAUAGUGCAAUUAACAUGCAUAUUGCAAUAUCACAUUUUUCAAGCGCUUGGACAGCUUGGGAACCAAAAUAAUAACAUACAAACCUGUGGGAGAAGAAUUUGGCGGCAGCCACAAAUCUGCAUUUUAUUCAGAUAAGACCUCAAUGUUUGAGUGUUUAUUUUGACCCAGGAAAUCUCUGCUAAUGGAAAAUGAGCUGAGCUGUCUGACUCAACCUAUCAUGCGUCCUUUAUCUUCUGCCACAUAUGGGUUCAACAUUCUGAUUUUUAGUAGUGUCCUUCUCUCUCCUACCUUGCUGCCAAGAGCUGCCAAUAGAAGGAGUGGUCAUGGUGGGAUCAGUAAUGUAUGCCACAUGUACAGAUACUAGGAGGAUGAAUGUGAAUGAAUCUUGCCAAUCAUGCCAUGCCCUCCAUUGCCACAAGUUGGGCUCUCUGACUGCUGAAGUAUUGUUGCCAAUGACAUCUCAGACCCGAGAAUCUGGACUGAAAUCUUUAGUAUGCCUCAGUUAUCUGGAUUUAGUUCAUCUUGCAAGACUUCUACAUCCUACUGUGUCUCCAGCCAUCGGUUAUGCACAGGCGUCGUGUAUUUUAGUUUAAACUGGGUGAAGAAACAAAAAGAAUUGGCUGAUCUUCUGGUGACUAGGCGGCAUGAUGACAAUGAUAGCAAUUCUACUACUCCCAUUGAUUCUGCCAUACCUUUGCAGGCUUUGCAUUUGUGUAUUUUGAGGAUGAGCGUGAUGCUGAAGAUGCUAUCCAUGGCCUUGAUGAUGUCCCAUUUGGUUAUGAUAGACGCAGAUUGUCUGUUGAGUGGGCCAAGGUAGGCACUUUCCUGGUCUUUUAAUAUCUGUUUCUUCAUUCUAGUGUCUUGUUUCUCCCCGGGUGGUGCAAGUGUCCUCAUGUGCCUGCUUUGAAUUGGCGUGGCUACUAUUGGGUUUCAAUACAAUGGGAUGUAUUCUUGGUUCCAGGGUGAACGUGGACGGUAUGGAGAUGGUUCGAGGUCGGUGCCGAACCAGAGGCCCACUAAAACACUGUUUGUUAUAAACUUUGAUCCCCUUCGCACAAAGGCUCGUGAUAUAGAAAGACACUUUGAGCCUUAUGGGAGAAUACUUAAUGUUAGAAUCCGGCGUAACUUUGCAUUUGUGCAGUUUGAGACACAAGAUGAAGCAACAAGAGCUCUUGAAUGCACUCACAUGAGGUAGUAUGCUGUUACAUCAAGACAAUUUUAGCCUCUGUUAUUUUCUUUUUUGUUACAAUGGUACAUGGCCUGACAUAUUUGGAUGCACUUCUGGUGUUCAGCAAGAUGUUAGAUAGGGUGGUGUCUGUUGAAUAUGCUCUGAGGGAUGAUGAUGAGAGGGAUGACUUUAGAGGAAGUUAUGGUCGGCGUGGGAGUAGUCCUUAUGGGCGAUCAGUGAGCCCUGGAUAUCGCCGUCGGCUUAGCCCUGAUUAUGGUCAUGCUCACAGCCCUGAUUAUGGUCGUGCUCGUAGCCCUCGUUAUGACCAAUACAGUGGCCCAGCUUACAGAAGUCCUGUUUAUGAUAGAAACAGGAGUUCAGAGUAUGGAAGAUAUCGCAGGUGGAAAUGAUGUUUAGAGAUCAGCACUUGAUGUUAUUUAAUGUGGCUUUCUCCGUGUGAUCUCUCCAUUAAGACCAUUUUCUUUCUUGUUCUUGCUCAAACAGCCGCACACCCAUUCGGAGAUGAAGAAGUUGGAGGCUUUUCUUCGAGGAUCAGCAUCUAACUUUUCAACCAGGCUUUUGCCGUGUCGCCUCGUGCAAGAGAUGCUCUCUCUCUCUCUCUCUCUCUGUGCAUGUGUAUUCUGAAAGUGUACCUGGCUAUGCAUAGAUUUAGUUAUCUUUUCUCGUUUCCUGGUUACCAUAGAUAUAGUUGUCAAUUAGCAUAGUUAUCCUGUUUCUCUUUGCCCGACUGAUGGAUUUUGGUCACUUGCUUCAACUAGGAGGUUUUGGCACAUUAUUUCAUAUUGGCAUGGAUAUAGUUGUCGCUUACAGCAUAAGUAUCCUAUCUCUAUUUGCCCAACCGAUAGAUUUUGUCGAUUUGCUUCAACUGAUAGGGGUUCUGGCGCACUAUAUCACAGUGUGUUGGAGAGACAUUGCUAUUGGCCUAUGCGGGGUGGUUUAUGCCCUUAUACUCUCCGUGUCGGUUAAAACAUCCAGACUGCCAUCUCAGAAGCUAUAGAAAUACUCAGUAAAAUCGACAAACCAGUCCAAAUCAAUUUUAGCAAGUACCUUUAAACUCGCAUUUCAUGAAACAAAACGAAAAACUGAGUAACUGCAAGAGCACUGUACCACUCUUUGGAGCAGCAUGAGCUAAAGUCACAACCUCUCUGGUGAGAGACCUUGGAGGUUUCAUCGUUUCAUCGUUUCAUGGCCGGACUUUAGCAACUCAGCCACAGCCUUAGAGUUGCUGUUAAACUUGGUUUUUGGCAAAACCUGCUGAUUAUUUUUAGUAAGAGAUAUGAAAGUCAAUGAGUGCUCCAAUUUCUGAAGCACCAAUCUGUCUAAUAACUUGACAGGCCAACUGAUCAUCCAUCUCUUAUGUGGAUAACCAAUACGUGAAAUUUACAUUUGUGACGAUUCUUUACAGAGGAGGAUGAAAUCGAGAACCGUUCAAUCGACUCGUGGGGGACUAGGGAAGGAGUCUCUGUGUCUGGUGCUACCAGUUAUGCUUGACGAUCUUGAAUUUUUCGAGCACGACUUUCCCCUCCUUAUACUUCUCGGAUUCCUCGUACGCUCGGAAAUACUUCCAUCCCAAAUUCUCCUGGCAAUCGACGCAGUAGAUAUCUGAAACCACGUGGAGACCGGUCAUGAGAUUCCUGUUCUCCUUGGGACCUUCUACUAUGUUCAUGGCGUGGGAGAAGAGAAACGCCCUCCCAUGGCUUGCCUAUGAAAGAAGCACAUUCCCAUGAUCAGCGAUCUUCAUCAAUCCGGACAGCACGGGUAAGGUGACCGAGGGACUAUUCCUUAAAUCGAGACAGAAUCAGCAAGGACAUGGGUCUCACCUGGAAAUUCUUGGAGAUAAUGUCAUCGUGGCAACAAACUAGAUUCCCACACUUGAAGCAGCUGUACAGACGUUGUCCAGUCGAAUCCGCCAUUGCGAGAGAAGCUUCAGAGUCAAUAGCCGAAUAAUUGUGUAGGUGGAGGAGGAGCAGAAUUCAUCACCAUAUAAUAGCGGCACUUGUUUGCCUAUACGAUUCAACCAAAGAUCGUCAUCAUCCUAAAGGAACAGAAGAAUCAUUACUUCUAUGCUAUAAUAAGGAAUUGAUUGAGUGUAGAUUCCAAAUAGGUUGAAAGAGAUGCCCUGAUUAAUGAAUUAAACUUAUAUAAACAGGUGGGGUUGGCAAAGACCGGAUUGGAGAGCGUCUUGAGUACAUUAAAAUAUCCACCAUUACGUAGGAGCCACUAUAUGUGAGAACUAAAGUUAAAGAGAAGACAAUUAUACACAGCAACUCACAAAAGAAAAGCAGCGUUUUCCUCCCUCUUGCCUCUUGGCCUUUAAGUAGUGAGCAAAGGCCGGUGCUAGCCUAGCCUUUAACCAGAGCUCCAAUAUGACAAUGGGGUUUACCAUGGUUUCUCGUUCUUAUCCUCAUUGGUGUUUUCUGUUGCGUCAUUUGAAUUUGAUUCAGUUAACCAAAUUCAGAUGACGUGAUCGUAAUGUAAUCUGCACGAUCUUCAAUUCGAAUUCAUUGUGCUAUUGCUUAGAGAUGUGUCCUUAAAAUGCGGUACUUGUUACAUCUUGAUAAGGUAAGCAAGAGAGAGGAUGGGAAAACAGUAGCGUCAAUGGGGGUAGUUUGCUCAAUCAUUAUUUAAUCUCAAUCCAACCAAGCGAAAACUACGUUGACUUGGGGAACCUACUUUUCGUCCUUCAAUCAUUGGAUGCUUGCGUGAACUUACCCAGUUUUGCGUGGUGCGAAAGGAUGGUAUGGAAUGUUGCAAAAUUGAAACAACAAAUAUUAUGAGAAUGUUAUGACCGGCUUCAAGUCCAAAAACGCGGAUCGUGUGAAUCUCUCAUUUGCAAAACCUGUAAAAUUUCGAGAAAAUUUUAAAUUGGCUGCAGAAUAUCAUCAAUCAAAGUUGUGUUUGUUUUAUAGAAAAUUCGAUGAUAUAAGAAAAUAUUUUUUGAUAACACAUUCUUCGAGAAUACGUUAGUUUUUUUUUUUUUGAUGAUAUAUGAUUGAAAAUGUUUACUAUUGUUUAGAUAUUAUUGGAAAAUGAUUAACUUGCAAAAAACAGUUCGAAUUUUUAAUUAUAUAUUUCCUAUUUUUUUAUUUUUAUUUUCUUUUUAAAAAAUGGGAAAUUUUAACUUAUUUUUAAUUUUUUUUCCUUUUUCUUUUUCUCCCUUCGUUCGCCACUACUAGCCAGCAACGACCACAGCUCCGCCUCACUGGGACUAGGCGAGCGUCGAGCUCGUUGGCCUUGAUGGAGCUUGGGUUAGUGAGCUCGAGCUUGCAUGGAUUGGCCGAGCUUUAAGCUUGCUGGCUCGUCUCUUGGCCGAUUGUGGGUGGUGGAGGAGGAAGGGGGAAGAAGGAGGAAGAAAAAGAGAAAAGAAAACGAAAAAGAAAGAAAAGAAAUUAAAUCAAAAUCAAAAAAAUCAAAAUUUAUAACAAAUAAUUAAAAUUUUGAUUUUUUUUUGAAAAAUUAUUCUAUAAGAAUAAAAAUUUUGUUAACCAAGGAUCCUAUGACUCGGAAAACAUUUUGGAAAAUAUUUUCCGAUUCUUUCAAAGGAGAAAUCAUUGUCUUGAAUUUAUGUGUUUGUGGGAAAACACUUUUCAUUGAAUAAGAAAAUAUUUUUCAUUGACUCAUUUUUCUUAACGAAUCAAAUGUAAAAAAAAAUGAGGAAAAUGUUUUUUCCGCGAAACAAACGCAUCGCAAGUUAAAGACGGGAAUGCAGAGAGAUUGCUUUCCUUCAUAGUACAAACCCCUCUUUAUUUUAGUUUUCUCUAGACACUCCAUCGGUCACUUUGAACGAAGGGAUCGCAACCACAGGGGCUGGUAAGCUAAGCACGUUUCUCCUUCUCACUCAAGACCUAAAUUGGAAUUAUAUGUUUGUCCACUCUCUUAGAAACACAAACAAGUGUGUCUUCGACGAUUAUUCGAUGGGUACUACAUGAGGGAUUGCUACACUUAAUGGGGAUUCAUCAAGUAUUCAAAGAGUCUUGAAUACCUCAUUGAUAUAAUAAGAACAUAUUUCAUUUAUGAUUAUCUUAUCUACACCAAUUGUAAGAUUGAGUUUUAGGUUUUUAACUUAUGUACUUAAAUCCUUCUAAUUUACAUAAUUUGUGUGAUCAAGUUCUUUUGUAUGUUCUGUGAAAAUUCAAGAGUGAUAGGUUUCGGCAUAAUAUUGCCUCAAGGAAAGUUUUAUAUUAUUGAGAGCUAUAUAAAUCUUUGUAUACAGGAACCAAUAUAUAAUACAAAGAAUGAUUAAUAAAAAGAUAAGAGUAUAUCUUCCUAAUCUAGGUGUACCAAUUAUAAUCCUAGAUUGAUUCAAUUAAUCACUAUGAAGAUUGGAGAGAGAUAUUAUUUGGGCGAUCUUCCUUGGAGAGGAAAUUGCAGUGAUUCUUGGGUGAUUCUAGAUAAUUCCUCUUAGUUGGCACUGUUUUCUUUGACACCCCUUAUAAGCUGAUGUGGGUGAGCGCACAAUAAGCUUGGCUCGUAGGAGGCGAAACCAAGAGGUGGAGAGCCCUUUGGUGAAAAUGUCAGUAGGUUGAUCAAGAGUGGAAAUAUAUUGAACAUGCAACUUGUGCCGACUAACCCGUUCGUGAACAAACUGGUAAUCAAUUUCCACAUGCUUCGUGCGAGCACGAAAAGCUGGAUUGCUAGUCAAAUAGAUUGCCAAUUUGUUGUCACACCAUAAAAUCAGAGGCCGUUGAGAUGGCACUUGGAGAUCUUGCAAUAGAGCCUCAAGCCAAAUGAGUUUGGCACUUGUGUUUGUAAGGCACUUGAACUCGGCUUCAGUGUUGGAGCGAGCCGCAGUGUGCUGCUUGCGAGAGCUCCAAAAGAUAAGGUUGUUGCCAAGAAAAAUGCCAUAACCCCCAACUGAGCAGCGAGUGGUAAGGUCUCCCGCCCAUCCGGCAUCGGAGAAAACAUGAAGAUGAAGAUUGUUGCUCCGAGUGAAUAGAAUGCCAUGACAAAUGGUACCCCUAAUGAAUCGCAAAAUCCACUUGAUGAGUUGCCAAUGUUUAGUUGUAGGAGCAUGCAUGAACUGGCAAACUGUGUUAACUGCAUAAGUGAUGGUCAGGCCUGGUGAUAGUGAGGUAUUACAAAGCCCCUACAAUACUACGAUAUUAGUGUGGGAUCAGGGAAUGCAUCACCAUCGCUAACAGAAUGAGAGUCAGUACUGACGGAGCAGGGUGCGGUAAUUGGCUAGGCAUCAAACAUCUUGGCUUGACGAAGAAGGUGAGUGGCAUACUUGCCUUGAUGGAGGAGAAGCCCCUGUGCCGAAUAUUGCAAUUCAAUGCCCAAGAUAUAGCAAUGUGCCCCAAGAUAGCAAACUCAUGCUGCAAAUCAGCAAGAAGAGCAGACAAAGGAGCAGUAGGUAAUCCCAUAAGAAUGAUAUCAUCGACAUAUACCAAAAGAUAAACAGUGUAUCCAUCUCGAUUCAAUAUAAAAUGAGAGGAGUCAGCUCGAGUAGUAAAUUCAAAAGAUAGUAAAAAGGAACUUAGCCAUUGAUGCCAAGCAUGUGGUGCUUGUUUUAGACCAUAGAGGGACUUGUGAAGUCGGCAGACAUAAUUUGGUUUCUUAGGAUCAAUAGAUUUUAGUGAUUGCUCAAUGUAAAUUUCCUCAGUGAGAUGACCAUGUAAGAGCGCAUUUUUCACAUCCAACUGCCGAAUUUACCAACCUCAAUUAUAUACAAUGACAUGCUUGACAACUAGACUGAAGAUUUCAUGAAAGUUCACGCCCUCUUGUUGAUAAAAUCCCUUUGCCACCAAACAAUCUUUAUAAUGCUCAAAAGUUCCAUCAGCCCGCAUCUUAAUAUGGUAUACCCACUUACACCGAAUCGGUUUGCAUCGUGGCGGGGGUGGAAUAAGAGAUUAUAUGUGAUUUGCAAGAGAGUUGUAUAUUCUUCAAACUUGGCCUGGUGCCACUAUGGGGCUUUAUUGACUCGACUGAAGCAGGCGUAGAGGUAUCCAUAAUAGACGUGUUCAAGGCAUAUGUGCGAUCAGAAUUGAGGUGGCGGCCCUGCAAGGUCCUGUCUCUCAGGCGGGCCGUCAUAGGGUGAGCUGGAGGCGGAAUUCGAGUUGGUUCUGCUGAUAGUAGGCAUCGCGGCAGGCGAAGACGACAAGGAAGGACUCAUCUCGGCAAGGGAUGGUGCUAGACUGCUUUGAACCUGCACAGGAUAAUAUAAAGGAUUAGCAAUCAUUGACGGUGAAGAGCUGCUCGGAGCUGAGAUGGUAGUAGGUGGUGAAAAGAAUAUAGACGAUGUCGCAACAUCCAAAUCAUGAGAAACAAUGCCAGAUGGAGAGGAGUUGGAAAGGGGAAACUUAUCUUCAUGAAGGACAGCAUCAUCAGUAAUGUAAACUCAUUGCUGGUCAUUGGAAUAACAUUGAUACCCUUUAACUCCAGAGGAUUAACCCAAGGAGACACAAAGGCAAGAACGUGGCUGCAGUUUUUUUUUUUUUUUUAUUUGGUAGGGCCGCAAGUUUAGGUAGACAGCGCACCCAAAAGUGCGCAAGCGAUGAAUAGUAGGAGCCGAGUGAAACAAUUUUUCUCAUGGUGUAUGAAAUUGCAAAGUAGGUGUGGGCAACCGAUUGAUGAUAUGAACAGCAGUCUCAAUAGCAAAAUCCUAGUAUCGAUCCGGAACCGAUGCAUGAUACAUCAUAGAGAGGGCCAUUUCAACAAUACCCUUGUGCUUGCGUUCUGCAGCUCCAUUCUGAGCAUGAAUGUGAUGACAGGAAGUCCUAUGAUUGAUACCAUGUUCAUCAAGCAGCGUGCGAAAAGGAGUAGACUGAAAUUCCCCGCAUAAUGACACUGAAUAGCCUUGAAUCGAGUGUUAAGCUGAUUUUCAACAAAGUUGAGGAAUUUAGUGAAGAUAGGUAAGAACUGAUCACGAGACUUAAAAAAAAUAAAGCCAAGAGAAUUUUGAAUAAUCAUCAGUAAAACAAAUGUAAUAACGAUUGUUUUGACCUGACAUUACAAUAGCGGGUCCCCAAAGAUCAAAGUCAACUCGUUGUAAUGGGGUCGUAGAUUUCUUCCCAGUAGGGAUCGACUCUGACAAUGACUUUUACUAGAUACACACGCAAAACAUGGUGGAACGGACUCAACUGAUUUAUUGAAAAUGCGACAUGCUACUGAAAAAGACGCAUGAGCCAAACGGUCGUGCCACCAAGUGAUGGACGAUGCUCGAGAGACUUGAUAAAAAGAAGGUGAUGGCGAGGUGGAUGAGACUGGAAGGGAAUAGAGACCCUGAUCAAGUACCCCUUGGAGUAGAGUCUUCCCCGUACGACCACACUUCACAGAAAAGAAGGUGGGUAAGAAGAUAAAAUCGCGAUUAUUUUCUUCAAUAAAUUGACGAACUGAUAGUAAAUUUUUCUUAAUGGAAUGAACAGCAAGAACUUGAGACAAUCGAAAAUUUGCGCAAGAAAAACUUCUUGUAUGUGAAAUAGGAAGACUGGACCCAUCACCUAUGGUGACAUGAUCAGGACCGACAUAUGGCUGAAGUAUGGAUAGAAGUCCAUGAUUAUUUGUCAUGUGGUGAGUGGCACCCGAGUCAGGGUGCUAGGAUUUAGUAGAAAACACUGAUGGUGGUGGAGAAAUCUUGGAUAGGUUGAGCUAUGGUUGCUGUUGAGCUGAUGGUGCAAAGGACUGUUGAUGAUAACGAUCACAGCAAACACUGGCUUUAUGACCCGGACGAUUGCAAAUUUGACAGCAAAUAGUGCCACGUCAUGGGCCACCAUAAUUUGGAUUAGUUAUUUGCCUCGCCUAUCUAUCGCCAAACUGAGAUUUAGAGCCCCAUGGGUUUCGGUCAAUUGGAGGAGUGCGAAACCACUGCUGCUAAGGGGCAAAUGAGAGAGUGCUAUUGUUGGCUUGAGUAACAAAGGCUAUUAUUUGUUGGUGUUGUGGCCGACUCCGUCAGCUCCAACUGUGCUUCAUGGGAGAGCAAAACCCAUGCAAAGAUUCAUGAGUCAUCACUUGAUACUGACUCUAAAUUGAAAUUGCAAUUGCAAGACUCUAAAAUUCAGCUCCUAAACCUCGAAAAAGAUGAGUUUGAUACUCCUGAGGAGAGAUGGUUUCACCGAUGGAUGCGAGCUGAUCAACAAUUGCGGUAGCAUGCUGGAGAAAUUCUGUAACAGUCUGGCUUCCUUUGCAUACCGUUUGCAAUUGUAUGUGCAAAUGUGUGGGCCUCGUGUUGUUCCGCGCAGCAUAGGAGGCGGCUAGAAAUCUACAUGCAUCUGAUGAGAUUACAAAAUUGCUAAGUUGACCAACGAUGGCAUCUGAAGUGGUGCUGAGGAUCCAUCCCAAAGCAAUUUGAUCCCUUGUGCAUCGGGUAUCAUAUUCGAGAUUGAGCAUUUGUAAUAUAUGGGCUUUAAAACAAGAAAAUAAAAUAAAAUAAAAUAAAAUAAAAAGAAAGGGUUGAAAAGUCAAAAAGGGAGGCUGAAGGAAAGUGGAGGAAGCUUCGGCUAAGUUUAAAAAGAUAGAGAGAGGGACAGAAAGAGAAGAAUAUCGGCAGGGGAAAAUGCGAAACAGGGGAGAAGAGAGAAAGAAGAGAAAGGAAAAAAAGGGAAAAAGGGAAAAAUUUUGGUGUGCUUGUGGUCCGAACGCCUCGUCAAGCCAACUCAAGUGUGUUUUGUAAUGCCGGUAAGGAAUCGACGCUUUUAAUCACCUACUUCAAGUAAUCGCCGCAAUUAGGGCUCAAAAUUCGGAUUUCUUGGAUAUUUGUGUGGCGAAGCCCGAUUUUUGAGUCGUUAAGCUAUAUAUUUAUUAGAAAUGGUACUUUGGGAUGUUGUGAAACUAUAGCAUCUUUCAGAUUGUGAUUUGAGCUUGCGGUUUGUUCGGAAUGGAAUUUUGAAGUUGGAGGCACAAUCUGAUACUGUAGCGAACAGGACUUCGAGUCUCUUUUUUGUUGUUUUCAGUAUUGUUUUGGGGCGGCUGAGUUGGGUUGUUGUUGUACAUUAAGAGAGUUUUCUAAAGACUAUAAAACGGCUUGAAACAGCAUAGGCAAGUCGUUAUAAGAAUAUCAUUUUUACUUGGCCUUUUGAUAUUAUUUUUUCGUUAAUUGUCAGGGAUCCGAAUGCGUUGGUUCGUGUGAGCGUCCUAGUUGAUUUUUGGCUUUUUCCAGGUGAGUGACACUAUUUCUUCUUUGUAUUUUAAACACAUGUUUUGAGAAACGUGGUGGAUUAUAUAUUCCAUGAGUUAAUAAAAAGCAUAUUUUGUUGCAUAAAACAUAGAUCGAGCUAUUACUGCCAUUUUUGUUGUUUGAAAUUGUUGUUUGAAGGGAGUUAUAUUCUGACUUCGAUUUGAAUGGUUGUUUGAAAAAGGAUUUGUGAAAUUCUUUGCGAAAAAAUCUUGAAAUGUUUUAGAGAAUGCUUUGAUAUUUAUAUAUCGAAUUUUGAGUUAUGAUAUGACUUCUUUUUUGAUGUUGGAUUACUGAAUAUUGUGAUUGGUGGUUGGUGCUCAAUGUCGCUGUGGACCCUGAGGGGUGUGUGGGUAUGUGCAUACUAUUCUAGGAUAUCUUUGUGAGUCGAGCCACCGGCUAAUAAUAGGUGGAGACCUUGCCAAGGGGGGAAUCUUGGUCGUCUUGUCAUGGACGUUACGCGUGACCAUAGUUAGACAUUUGAGCAUGAAUUGGUCAAUGAAGUGAACCAUUGACAUGUGAUUUGAGUUUGGUUGAUGGAGUGGACCAUCGAUAUGAUUUGAUGAGAUUAAUCAAUGAAAUAGACCAUUGAUGAUGUUUUACGAGAUUGACUAAUGGACUCGACCAUUGAUAUUUUUGGUAUUCGAGUUAUGAUUUGAUAUUAUGAUAAAGUGAGUUAUGUUUGUGUUUUAAAAUGUGCAUAGUGAUUUCUCGAUCCACUUAGAAGAAAUGUGUUACUCACUGAGCUGUGGUAGCUCACUCCUCUCAUCUACUUGUUUUUCAGGUCUUCAGCGAGUCGCGAAUAGGCUCGGAGAGGACUUUUGUGGUGGAAAUUUUUGAGUAUGGCUUAUGCAUAGUUGAUAAGUUUAUAAGUUAGUCUUUGUAGAAGAUUCAUGUUUUGAUUUUUGUGGAUUAUAGAUAUACUCUAAUAUUGUAACCAAUUGCCUCUUUUUGUCAAAUAUAUAUAUAUAUAUAUAUAUAUAUAUAUAUAUAUGAUAUAUGUGGAUGUAUAUAUGUUGAUAUUAGGUUAAAUUUUGGUUACGUUGAGGCUAUGUCCUUUGGUAAAAGGACGGCCAUGUCAUGCCCUUCUUCUUGUGAAUCGGGGGUGUGACACAAUUGUAAUUGCUCUAGUCCCUUCUUGGGUGAUUUGACUAGGUGGAAAGGGUGCAAUUCCCUCAACAAUUUAAAGCAGUUUAUUUGCUCGAAGAAACAGGAGCAAAUAGGCCUUCCAAACAACAUAGUUAUCACCUAUAAAUUUAACACCAAUUGUGGGACAAGUAAUAGUUUUAGUUGAAUUCCCUAUAAUAGGAAGAACAGUGAGUGUUUUAGGUGUUGAUGAACAAGUGUUGAAUUGCUGGAAGAAGCAAUAAGAGAACAAGAUUGAUUUUCUUAUUGGAUUAAAAAAAUAUAUAUGUUUGCAAAAUCAAGGCUCUGAUACCAUGUGAAAAUUUAAGAGAAAUAGGUUUCGGUAGAAUAUUGCCUUGAGGAAAGUUUUAUUAUAUUGAGAGCUAUAUGAAUCUUUAUACAAAGGAACCAAUAUAUAAUACAUAGAAUGAUUAAUAAAAAGAAAGAGUAUAUUUUCCUAAUCUAAGUAUAUCAAUUCUAAUUUUAGUUUGAUCCAAUUAAUCACUAUUUUAAGAUUCAAGGGAGAUAUCUCUUGGGUGAUCUUCCUUGGAGAGAAAAUUGCGGUGAUUCUGAGAUAUCUCUCGGGUGAACUUCCUUGGAGAGAAAAUUGUGGCGAUUCUUAGGCGAUUCAAGAUUAUUCCUCUUAGCUGGCGGUGUUUCCUUUGACAUGUUCUAUUAAGCAAAAGUGCAUGGAGGCAUUGCAAUUCUUUUUUUUCAUUUAAAUAAGGGAGGAAAUUAGUAAAAGUUUUGAAAUCAAAACAAAAUCGGAAAGAGACGAAAUCUAAAAAGAAAUAAAAGAGAGAGGGAGAAGCGAUGGUAGUGGCCGCUACGGAUGAGCGUCCUGCAUUGGACUUUGCCACCAUGGCGGUGUCGGUGGCGACAAGAAUAUAUGACACCUCCCGCAACAUUUGCAUCGUUAUCUUUACCUUUUUUUCAAUCGCUUUCUCAGUUUUUUUCAUCAAAUCGAAACUAAUUUUUUUGUCCACAAAAGGCCAUAUUAGCGCCAAUAAGAUUUGUUGAAAUUAAAGGUCUCGAUUAUGCAUGUCGGGCAACUAAAAAAAUGAUUAGAAUGCAUAAAUUGAGAGCUUGAAAACUGAAUUACGCGAUUGACAAUGUUGGAAGAAAACAAAUGAAAUUAAUGUCGUGUUAACGACUACCUAAAAUCCACUCGUCAAGCCACACUCGAGGGACAAUGUUUGGAUAUACAAAACAUGAAUUUAGAAAUAACACGAGAAAAAUAAUGGAGGGGGGGGGGGGGAUUGCGGACAGACUUAAAAAUGGCUGAUCGACAAGGUGGGGCGGGGACGGAAACAGGGAAAGGGAAGAGGUGAACAAUGAACAAGGAGAUUCCAUUAGUGUAAGCGAAGGGAAGGAGCAGUAGUUUGAUGGGGUUUGGUGAAGGGUUGCCCCGCCCUCUCUGGGUGGGUUAAGCUGAGCGGACGACAGGAAUCUCUCGCAAGCAUCGGGCGGUCGAUGGGCAUGGCAUCUUUCUCCCGAGGAGGAGGGGGAUCGUCCAACAAGUGACUUGGGACUCCAGCAAAGAAUCCGAAGCUCACGUCGAUUGGGCGUGGAUUGCGGGGGAGUGGGGGGCCCCAGCCCCGGCCCCAGCCCCGACAAUCAUAAAAAGAGGGAACGGGAAGGAGUCGAAAGCGAGGUGAGGACGGCAGGACCCACACGGCCACACCCCCCCCACAAAAACCCGAAUCAAUCAUUAUUUUGAGCCAUUUUUGUUUUUUCGCAAUUGGCGUCAUCUGGUCACGACUCUGUCUCUGCUUUUCCUCUUUCUUUCCUUGUUUUUUUUUUUUUUUUUUAACGACCGGAACGCAAGAAUUCGCUGGGUUUUGAGGAGGGAGGGUGGUCAACCCCGCAAAAAAACCCAUCGAUUGGGAUUGAGGAGAGCGGGGCGAAUAAAGUCUGGUUGAGCAGAUUCGGUGGCCGCGAGCCAAUCCCGAGAGGCCACGUCCCCCAUCUUCCGCUACCACCUUUUUUCUCAUGUAAAUCUAUGGGGGUGCAGGGGAGACCAGCAGCAGCAGCAGCAGCAGCAGCAGCAGCAUUCUCCUCCUCUUCCAUGGAGUAGAGUAGAGUAGAGUAGAGUAGAGGAGUGUGAAUUGCGAGGCCUCACCCAGCAGUCGCCAACUCCGGUGUGGGUUGUUUUUGUUGGGGGGGUGGAGGGAUGGGGCUGCUGAGCAACCGAAUGGAGCGGAGCGAGAUCAAGCCCGGUGAUCACAUCUACACGUACCGCGCCGUCUUCACCUACUCCCACCACGGUCCGUCCCCCUCUCCCUCUCCUCCCCCUCCUCCGUGAUUCGAUUCGAGGAGUUGGGUCCGGUUGCUUGUCGUUCCUUUCGUGAGAAACUGCGCUUCCCACGUGUCCCCCGGUCUUCGUCGCCCCUCAAUUUGCCUCUGAAUUGGCGGAUUCUGAUCGCCCUCUUGUCUUCGUCCCCACGUCUCAGUUUCCGCUUAAUGUGGGUCACGACACGAUGCUCCGAAACCGUGCUUUUCCCGAUUCCGUCUUUGAUUUGCUCGGGAAUUACAUUAUGCUGUUCCCUCGUUUGCUUGAAAGUUGUCGGAUCUGAUACAAGUAUGCAGCUUUACUUGAUGAACGUAGGAACUCAUCCACCACAGACGAAUUUAGAUGAAUUCUUAAAAUUUGCCAGUUGAAUUGUUGGUCUACGCCUUUCCGGGAUGAUUUUUUUUUUUUUUUUUUUGGUCAUUUUGCUCCUUCAGAGUUAAAGGCGAUAUCAAUUUUUCUCGUUUGAGUGGUUCUGUAAACUUGUUUAGCUGGCAGUCUGGAUUACUUCAGUAGUCAGCCCUUCUAACAAUCGUGACUUAACCGUGCACGCACUGAAUAUAAAUGGAAUUUGGAACUUUGCGGGCUGCAUCAUUGCAAUUCUCAUAAUGAUGAUUAGAUAAGCUAUAUUUGGCGGAUGUGCUGCAGUGGAUGUUAUAGCAAUGGCAACAGGUUAGAGCAUGUGUUAGACAGUAGAGAGAUAUCAUGUGUGGACUGACAAGAAAUGGUGAGUAUUCAGGAACUCGAAUUGGACGAUUCUUUCGAUUGCAGAGCUUAACGCUACCAUUGAGGUAUGCAAUAUACAUUCUUUUUAUAGAUUAAGGGAUAUAGCAGGUAGAGCUUAAGAAGAUGGCAUAUAAUAGCCAUUUGGGACUGCUGAUUGAAUCGACCGUGCUGCUGCAUCAAUAGUGUGUCAUAGCUACAGCAAUGAUUGGGAUGGAUCUAAUAGCUAUAUGCCAUAGGAAGAUGUAGCUUACUUAUAAUUGCCUCCUAGUUCUUACUCAGUUGAGGUCAUUUAUGCUGGUGUCAUGCUACAGUAGGUAGAACUUUUUCCGGCUCGUACCCUUUAGGUUCUGAAAAACAUAAACUGGAAGCAUAUAACUUUACCUUACAUUAGGUGUGUCUUCAGAUGCUUUUAUAGACCCUACAGCAGACCGACUGGAUUGCCGAGUGGUUGAAGUCCGAAACAUGGUUGUACUGGAACUUUAGACAAAUUAGCAUCCUCUAACUCCAUCCAAGACAAUGGAGAAACAUAUUUGCGCAUUCAUCAUCUGAUGGCAUAAGUAACAGAAGAAGGGAGAUACUUGCUUCGGGGAUGAAGUAACCUAGGUCCUUUUUUCUGUUGCUAAACUAUCUAUGGUGGAGCAUUUAGGUAUACGUGGCAUUUUAAAUUGAGAAUGAUUCUGAUUGUUCUUUGCACCCAGCUGUAGGCUUUUACUUUGAUGACUCUUUGAAGUAUUGUAGCUUUUCAUUGAGUUUCCAUGAUGAAAUCUUGAAUCCAUUUGAUGUCUGUCAUGUAGGAAUCUUUGUCGGGGGAAGCAAGGUUGUUCAUUUUAGACCUGAGCGUAAUGCUGAUUCAAGCAUUGAAGAAGCCGACUCCUAUGAUGCAAUGUCUUCGUCCUGUCCAACCUUCCCUGAUUGUGGAUUCAAGUUACCCAGCAGUGGUGUGACACUCACAUGCCUGGAUUGCUUCCUCGGGAAGGGAUCUCUGUACUGCUUUGAGUAUGGGGUUGCCCCCUCAGUGUUCCUGGUCAAAGUGCGUGGAGGCACUUGCACUACUGCCCCCUCUGACCCGCCAGAAGCUGUCAUUCACAGGGCAAUGUAUCUCCUCCAAAAUGGAUUUGGCAAUUAUGAUAUCUUUCAGAACAACUGCGAGGACUUUGCGCUGUAUUGUAAAACAGGCCUUUUGAUAAUGGACAAGCUUGGGGUCGGAAGAAGUGGCCAAGCUUCUUCUGCCGUUGGUGCUCCCCUGGCUGCCAUUCUGUCGUCUCCUCUGAAGUUGCUAAUGCCAAGUCCUGUUGGAGUGGCUACAGUAACAGCUGGAAUGUAUUGUAUGAGCCGGUAUGCUACCGACAUAGGGGUGCGAUCAGAUGUGAUCAAAGUAGCCGUGGAGGACUUGCCUGUAAACCAAGGCUGGGCAGAAGAUCAUCAUGAGGAAGCAGAGGGGAGGGCGCCUUCUGACAGAUUGAUUACAGGGUGAUGUAAAUGAAUGUCCUUCAUGUGCAUAUACAACGGCAUAUACUCGUCAAUAGAGACUUCUCCUGGCCAUGCAUUCCUAUGCCAAAACUACUUUUUCUUCUUUUCAUUCUCCACCCUCUAGUAUUCAAACUCUGUCGCCAAAUAACCAGUUACGAUUGACUGCAGUUUGGAUGGAAUUCUUCGAUGGUUUUUAGCAAUUGGUUGUAUUUAGUCUAUGUCGCAUCAUAUACAUUGAAGCUUCUCUCGUUUCUUUUCCUUGUUAAUCUGAUGAAGAGCGACGCUUACUUGCUUUAUGACCUCAUUAUUUGUGCUUUUACUUGUUAUUCUAACGCCCAGGUUGAUUCAACUAUGCCUAAUGAGAAGGUUCGUGUAAGACCACUAGUAAGUUAUUGUUAUACCAUUAAGUCUAGUUCCAGAUUAGGGCAAUAAAUAUCGAAGGAUACUUAUUCUCUUUUUAUUUUAUUUAUUUGGUCAGUAAAGGGUACUUAUUCUAUUUAGUAAGAAUUUUGUCAAAAGAUGCACGAAACUCGUUCAGAUGCAAUGAUAGGCUUUUUUGAAUGAAAAAAAGGCGAUUUGCUUGUAUUUUUGUCUUGCGAUGCAUGGUUUUCAAUUGCUUUCCAUUUUCAAUUUCUUGAUAGUAAGAAGAUAUGAGACUAAUUUACUCUCGAGAGUUGUCCUCAGGGACCUGCUGAAAUGGAGCAGUAGGAAUGUAUUGAACAUCUGGAGCUAUAGCAGUCAUAGAACAACUGGAGCAAAAGGGAUGUAUGUAAUAUUUUCUCUGGUUGCAAACCACUGAACAAAAGAUUUUCUGUUCCUUUUGAUGAAUGAUGUGGAAUCCAUAAAGUCAAGGUGGUGCGUUGCAUGGGGUCAUGCAAUUUGCCUAAAGCAAGCAAUGGAUGUUCUCAAAGCAGCCACAGCCUCAAGCUGGUGGACCUUGGUCCUUAUAAUUCCCUUCCAUCAUAUAUCACCAGGCAAAUAUCCCAAAAGUGAAAGUUAACUUUACCAAGAAUUUGGUGAGGGAGUGUUAUAACUCAGAUUUGAAUAUUUGAUUCAUGGACAUUUGUUCCCUUAUAAACCAGUAUUAUCAUGAGAGAAACUCUGCCACCCUUCUUUUCAACCGAAAUUAAUUUACGCUAGACGAGAUAUCUCUCUUAAGUGACUUGUGCUUAUGAACUCAGGCCUCUGAAAGGGCCUCCACGGUUCUGUUUUGCUGCUCGGGUUAUCUGAACUUUGGUUGUUGCUAGCAGACUGAGUUUGUGCCAUUUUGUCCUCGUUGGAAGCCUUGAACUCUGCCAACUCUGCCAACUCGACCACUCCGCCAACAAUAUCUUCAAUUCUUGCCGCAAUUUCUGUCAACAAAGACACUAAUGUGGCCAGUGGAAAUAUCCCCAUGAGAGGCGGCGCGGAGUCCUUUUAGCUGUUGACUUAUUCUCAUUUGAUUCGUCGGGAAGUAGUGGGUGAAGAAUGAGUUUGAGUAGGAAGAGAUUUCAGGGCAUUUUUUAAUUCUCUACAACUGAUAAAUCUAUUUUGGAUGGAUCGGUCAUUGUUUUCACCGACAUUGAAAGUUCUCUCGAGACAUUACACGAAUGAGAGCAUGCUGCUAUGCUUGCUGGCAUCCCCGUGAUAUCCCUUAAAAGCUCGGUUGCGGAAGCCCCAAAGAAAACACCCUUGAAUGAUGCUCUAAAAGUAAUUCAUAAAAACAACGAAAGCUCUGGAUUUCAAAGAGGGGCUGCUGUAGUUUAUGCACCUGCAUUUAAGAGUUAAGAAACCAUUGAGAGCCUCAAUAAAGCAAGCACGGUUGUGCAGGAGAGCUCCUAUCUUGAGGUACUCUUUCCAGGGAUGCUGGAAAUUGAAAGGGUCAUGAAUGAGUUCCCAUCUCGCGAAAUUUACGUACAUCAUACUGGAUACUAAUUAUAAAACGUUUGAGCAUUUGACCCUACACGACGAGCAUUCAUUAGAUAGUUUGAGCAUUCUUUUCCCUGGGGAGCAAGAAGUUACCGUAGAUUCCUCAGAGGCCUUUGAGUUUAAAACCCACUGACAUGCUUGUGUUUUCUUGGAAUUGUCUCUGUUCGCUCGGAAGCACACUCUGAUUGUCCUAAAAGUACUCUGCAACGCACCCAUUGCAUUUUUAAGAUCAGAAACUUAGCAUAGUUAAUAUCUUGCAGAUGCCGAAUUUGUGUUGACAUGAUUACCUUCGAGAGAUUCAGCGAGCUUCUCCAUGUUUCUAUGGAUGAGCCAGUGAAGUUCAUCACUGGCCUUAUGGGAGAGAUGGGCACACCAACGAGAAUGCACAAUGAUGUCCCGAUAACUCUUGUCGAUAAUCUCUGAUUUGCCACUUCAAAGAGUUUGUCGACGCGAUAACCAGACAGCAAAACCAAGCUGAAGGUGAGUAUGAACAUCAUGGCACCAUAAUUAAAUUGUGCUUUUACUGAUGGCAUGAACCGGGAAAAUGUUGCUGCUGAAGCUGCAAAAGUAACAUUUUACUUUAGCUACUGCUAUUAGUGUUCACCACUAGAAGAUCUCACUGUUUAAGAUGUCUUUUUCACCCACUUACUAGUUGCGAAAACAGAUAUUCCCAGAAUUACGGGCUUGAAUGUUUCUCCUGACUGACUUGCCAUGCAGUGUUCGCCUAUGCCAAGUGACCCAGCAACAAACGUCCCUGUGACUCCAUUUAUGCUCUUGGGUAGUGUAGAACUGGACAAGUAAUAUGACUAAGAGCAGUAACAUGCAAAAGCAACGAUGAUGUCAUAAAUAAGACUCACUGCAUAGAUUUUGAAAUAUUGAUUAUCAAUUUUAUAGAAAAAUCUAGUAUUCUCAAUUAGUAAAUUCUCGUCUAGAUUACUUAGUUAAGGUCUUGAGGGCACUUGUUUACAGAUAUCAGAAAUAGUAAGAAUGAAGUCGGCGGAUUUUUUCUAACAAUUGUACAUUCAAUAAAUGUCUCAAAAGCACUCAUUAACAUAUCUUCCAAAUCACGGAGCAGAGUUUAUCUAUGGACGAGUGACCUGCUCAAGCCUAUCAUGCCAGAAGAAAAGGCAAAUGAGCCGCAUUAAGUAAUGUCCUUACCUUUGUGAUUAUUGCAAGGUUUUCCACGAGCUUCCAAGUAGUUGGGCCUUUACAUCCGCGCCUCUAGAUUAUAUAAAGAUAAUACUGGAUGAUACGGGAAAUUAUAAUGAAUGUCUUAAUUAUAUAUUUUCUUCUUACUCAGAUGAGGUUAUAUCUGCUGGUGUCCUGCGACAAUGUGCAGAACUUCCUCUGGUUUGUACCCUUUUGAUCCUGAAAAACAUAAGCUGGAAGCGUAUAAAUUUACCUUACAUUAGUUGGGUCUCCAGAUGCUUUUCUGACCCUAAUGCAGACCGACUGGAUUGCCCAGUGGUUGAAGUUAAGGAACAUGGUGUCACCAGAACAAUAGAUGAAUUAGCAUCAUCUACCCCAUCCAAGCCAAUGGAUAAACAAAUGUGCGUAUUCAUCAUCUGGUGGCACAACUAACGGAAGAAGGGAGUCACUUGCCACAAUAUGUCAUUCAUAGGGCAAUGUAUCUCCUUCAAAAUUAAUUUGGCAAUUAAUGAUGUCUUUCAGAACAACUGCAAGGACUUUGCGCUUCACUGUGAAACGGGUCUUUUAAUGAUGGACAUGCUUGGGGUUGGAAGAAGUGGCCAAGCUUCUUGUGCCGUGGGUGCUCCCCUGGCUGCCAUUCUCUCAUCUCCUCUAAAGUUGCUAAUGCCAAGUCCUGUUUGGGAGGCUACAGUGACAGCUGGAAUGUAUUAUAUGAGCCGGUAUGCUACUGACAUAGGGGUGCGAUCGGUUGUAAUCAAAGUAGCCAUGGAGAACUGGGCUGUGGACCUAGGCCAAAGCCACAGAGAGGGCACCUUCUGACAGAUUGAUUACAGG